This 50781-nucleotide long non-coding RNA is filed under the name Brassica napus (rape). Its description in RNAcentral is "long non-coding RNA (BNAP_LNC003769)". The record is from RNAcentral. Lineage: Eukaryota; Viridiplantae; Streptophyta; Magnoliopsida; Brassicales; Brassicaceae.
UUCAUCACUACACACUUCUCAUUUUGCAAACAAUCAAAAUCCCCUAAAACUAAGAAAAAUGGCUGGUCUAAUGAAAUUGGCAUGCUUGGUCUUGGCCUGCAUGAUUGUGGCCGGUCCAAUCACAACGAACGCGGCUCUAAGCUGUGGAACCGUUAGCGGUAACUUGGCAGCAUGCAUUGGCUACUUAACCCAAAAUGGGCCCCUUCCCAGAGGGUGCUGCACCGGCGUUACUAAUCUAAACAACAUGGCCCGUACAACCCCGGACCGUCAGCAAGCUUGCCGUUGUCUUGUAGGAGCCGCUAACUCCUUCCCUACUCUCAACGCUGCCCGAGCUGCUGGACUUCCUAAGGCAUGUGGAGUCAAUAUUCCUUACAAAAUCAGCAAAAGCACCAACUGCAACAGGUAUGUCGUAAUCUCUCUCUGAUAUAUAUGAAAAUUAAAGGUUAUUUUAGAACAAGAAGUAUAUAACAAACAUUAUUAUGAUGAUUUACAUUUUAAGAUUAUUUUAUUGUUAAAUAAAAAGUAUAAGUUUUUUAAUAACUGUUUACUUCCCGGUUUAACCAUGUUCUAAUGGAAGUUUUGAGUUUUAUACCGAUGAAUAUAAAUUAAAAGUUUCUUUUGUUUGAAUGCAUAUUAUAGUACAAUAUAACAAUGUAAUGUUUAUUUGUAUGUGGUUGCAGCGUUAGAUGAGCGGCGGUCGGAUGAAGAAACUCAAGCGGACGUACGAAUCUAAUAUAAUGUAUGAGAGAGUACUAAAUAAGAUGUUGUUUUUCUAGUGUUUUAAAAUUUCAUGUUUCUCUUCUGUUGUGUCGUUCCUUUACUUUGGUUGUAUGUACUAUGUUCGUAAUCAACGUCCGCUAUAUGAAGUUCAUAUCCAAGGUUUACGUUAUUCUAUAUUCUUAAUUACUAAAACAAAGUUUAGUUAGUUUCACUGAUAUGAAAAAUUAAUAAUUAAACAUUAAAGAAAUAAAAUAAUCACUAAUAUGCAAUGCAGUUGAGAAGGAACGGAACAUUUUAAUUUAAAGAAAAUGAAGUAACGGGACAUUCUUAAAGUAUCCUGUUUAUACUUGAGAAUUAAUAUAGUUGAGAGAGAAUGAUGGACUGCUUUAAGGAACCAUGGCAUCCCCUGAAUUUAGGGCCCUACUUUUUUUUGUCGUCAAGUAGGGUUGUAUUAAAUAUGUGGUGUCUUUUUAAAAAAAAGAAUUGAGCUAGAUUUUAGACUCAUGACAUAAGAUGGCGAUUUGGAUUUUGGACAACCAAAUAGAAUGCACACUUAGAAUAAGAUUUCUAUUGAAUUUUUUUGUCAUCUUUUCAUCCUUGAUCGCUAAUUUUUUUUCAAAUAUACCGUCUUUUGAAAUGUUUCUAGAGAAAGAGAAAAUGUCAAAAUUCUACCAAAAGUCUAGACACGCAUCUGAUUGCCUUCUUAGUGUUAACGGCUAAUUACAGUUUUUUUUUUUCUGGUAAUGGUACUUAAAUAAGGAUAAAGGGAAUUUCAAUAUUUCAAGGACUCUCAAUUUUACAACAGAAAAUAGCAAACUUUGACAAAAACGAGAUAGAUUAGCAAAAUACUAUGUGUUUAGCAUAUUUUGCAAAAUAUUUCUUUGAUCCACCACAAAAAGGUCUUACAAGGUUAAUUAACAUCUACAGUUUGCAAAGAAGGUUAGACCUAUUUUUCGACAAUGAAUAGAGGUUGAAACUCUUAUGUGUGUUUUCUUGUUAUAUUAAGAGUACAUAAGUUUUUUUUUUGUUGGUCAAAAUGUUAAAAGAGUACAUCUGUGUUCUCAAGUGCAAUUCUAUAGUCUUAUAGGAGUGAAACAAAAACGAGAUAGAUAAGCAAAAUAUGUGUUUCGCAUAGUUUGCAAAAUAUGUGUUUCGCAUAGUUUGCAAAAUAUUUCUUUGAUCCACCACGAAAAGGAGGCGAAAAUAAGUGUAUUCGUAGAGGGUUAAUUUACCCUACAGAGUUAUAUAAAUUAGUUUAAUUUUUAUUAAAUACUUAAACUUGACUCCAUCAAAACAUAAAUAUGACCUCUAUCAAAUUUAAGUUCAAACGAAGUCCGACAAUAUCGUGAAAGUUCUUCAAUUUUCAACCAAUUUAUCAUGAUCCCAGCAUGUAAUUUGUAUGGCUCCGCAGAAAAUACAAUUGUUGGAAUUGGAACUGAGAGUUUACUAUACUUUUUUAUAUUAUUUUGUUUUCGUGUUGGGCCGAUCAUCUCAUUAACAAGCUUUCACGUGAGUAUUUUGCUGAAUCCGCCAAUCAUUAUAUUUUAAAUCUGCUCAAUCUUAUUAGCGGAUGAUUAGUUUGGCACGAGCUAUCGAUCUCAUAUGAUUCUUGAACACAUAAUGCUACAAUAUAUAAAAUAUAUACUAUUUAAUUAUUUUAUACAAAUAACUAUUUUUAUCCGAUAUAGUUUAAAAAGUCACAGAAAAGGAGUACAUGUACGUUGAUAAAAGGGAAAAAAUGUAUUUUUGGUUUCACUUUUCAGAAAAUAAAAUUAAAUAAAAUGUCAAUCAAAGCAGAUGAGAGGUAAAUAGGUGCUCUACAUUAAAUGUAACCAACGGCCAACUAACUAAUCCUUUCUUCUAAUCGCAUUCACAUUCUCAAAACAUAAACUUUCAUUCUCUAUAUAAACACUGACUCCCUCAACUCUCUUCACCACCCAAAUAUCUUACUUGUUUACAUCUUCUUUUGCAAACCAACAGAAACACUAAUAGAAAAAUGGCCGGUGUAAUGAAGUUGGUAUGCUUGGUCUUGGCCUGCAUGAUUGUGGCAGGUCCGAUCACAGCGAACGCAGCUCUGACCUGUGGCACCGUUAACAGCAACGUGGCACCGUGCAUUGGCUACAUAACCCAAGGUGGACCCCUUCCCGGAGCGUGCUGCACCGGUGUUAGUAAACUUAACAGCAUGGCCCGUACAACCCCGGACCGUCAGCAAGCUUGUCGUUGCCUUAAAACUGCUGCUAGCGCCUUAGGCCCUAGUCUCAACGCUGGCCGUGCAGCUGGAAUUCCCAAGGCAUGUGGAGUCAGUGUUCCUUUCCCAAUCAGCACCAACACCAACUGCAACAGGUACGUAUAUUAAUUUGAUGAACCUCUCACACUCGCUCUUGAACUCUUAUAUUAACGGUUUUAUGUUUUAAUAAUUUUUUAAUGUUAAGAAAAUAUUCCCGGUCUAACAAUGUUAUAAAGGAAAUUUUGAGUUCUUAAAUGAUUCAACAAGUGUACGUAAAAAGGUUUUUUUAGUAGAAAUUUGAGGUUCUCUUAUACUAUAUUAACGAUGUUAUGUUUGAUUGGGCGUGGUUGCAGCGUGAAAUGAGCGACAGUGUGAUGAAGCUUCAGGGGACGUUUCGAAUAUUAUAAUAUGGAUCAGAAUAUUAAAUAAGAUAUGUUCGAAUGCAUGUUUUAAAAAUGUUUUAUAAUUUCCUUCUUUUUUAUUUUAAUAUGGUGAUCCUAUAUUCCUAUGAACUGGUCGUUUGUACUAUGUUAUCGAACAACGUUAUAUGAAAUUCAGAUUUGAAGUUUAUAUUCUUCCGUGUUGUACCGCCUCUUCACGAAGCCUUAAUAUAUAAACAAAGAAAAAGUAAUGGGAUAUUCUCAAAUGUUAACUGUAAACUACAGUUUUAUUAUCAAUCAUUUGAAAAAAAACAAGAAGAUAAAACUAAGCUAUGGACGUAUACAUGUCAAAAAAUUCGUAUUUGAAGUGUUUUUGUAUUUGGAGACUUUUAUGUGGAGAUCCAUGGCAUGUUGAGGAAAGCAAAGAAGUAUCGUUCUGGUGUUUUAUCGGCCGAUCAAGUCCGCAGCAGGACAACGUACGUCGACAAAAUGUUCAUCGGUCAGAUAACCUAUGCGUGGAUUAGUAACUUUCUAUUUUCAAAGGCACUUACUACCUUCAAAAUAAGAAUUACCUUGUCUAAAAUCUUGAAAGUUCCCGAUAAGAUGUAGUGAUUUGUACUAGUAAAAGUAAAACAUACAUAUUUAAACAUACAUAAGAGUAGAAAUAUAUGUGGAGUGACGAAGUGACGGCCAUGUAAACCAAAGCUAAUUAAUUGCAUGGUAGGCAAUCGACAGUGAUACAAUUCUACCAAUUUGUCCUGCCAUUUAAUUUAUCAUGCAUCAGUCUUCUCUUUCACAUAAUGACGAACCUUUUACAUACACUCCAUGGUUUGGGAGGACAGACAAACCAACAUCUUCUCGUGUGUAUCCGUCCCGAGAAAAAACAUAAAUAUUUAUUAUUGAGUAUUUAUUAUUAAUUUUUUAAUUUAUUUGUUUUUUUUAAUUUAUUUAGAGAUCACAUAAAAGAUUUACUACAAUACUCAAAAAAAUCUCCAAUAUUUAGGUUGAAUUAACAGAAAAAAUCACGUUUGAUAAAUUUCAAAGUUUUUCAUUUAAAAUAAAACUUCUUUGUAAAAAUUGCCAUGCAACCUAAAUGAAGAGCAUAUUAUUGAAAGCAUGAGAAUGCAACAUAUGAAACCUUAAUGAUAAUUACGUACCCGUGUCAAAGAAAAUUACAGGCAAUGAGGUGUUUGGUGUAUCUGCAUUUCUCAGUCACCAUCACAGAGAAUUUUGUUAAUUACUCCCUCUUCGUAAUUAAUUACUCCCUCUUCGUAAUAAGCUUCACUUUAUGCUUUUGCAAGCUGUAAUUAAUUACUCCCUCUUCGUAAUAAGCUUUAUUUUAACCUUUUUUUUUCUUGUUAUAAAAAAAAUAUCACUUUACAAUUCAAUGCAAAUCAUAUAUACUUUCAGCUGAAAAUUAAUUAAAAAUUGCAUUAAUUUUGUAAAUAAUUUUAUUUAUUUCAAAUACUAUUAGUAAUAGAAAUAUAAUUAAUAACAACUUACAUUUAUGUCACUUUUUAAUUUAUGUGAAAAAUGUACGAUACUUAUUUAUAAACGGAGGGAGUAUUAUGAUUGGUAGAUAGAUGGUAGUCUAAUGAUAUGUUUAAUUUAGUUUUGUAUACUUAUUAAAUAUGUAAAAAUUACCGGAACGAUACCAUGAAUUCGUAAAUAUAGUUAUCAUUUAUCAAAAUAUCUAAAAUUGAUUCUUCUACUUUACCAAAAAGAUACUGACACUCUCACUCUUCUUCUGCCAAAAAGAAACUGAAAUGUUGUCGAGGUUCCAGUUGGUUUAAAUUUUAAAGUGAGAAAGGCUCUACAUUGUUUAGAGAGUCUACUACUUCUGUAAAAGUUGUCCAAGCCCAUCGAUAUACUCAGGUAUUUUCCAAAAACCACGACGUCGUCGUUUAAUUCAUCUUCUUUGCUUCCUAGUUGAACUAUACACAGCUCUCAUUGUUGAGGUGGGGAAAGAGAAGAGUGAUCUAGAUGGUGGUGAUGAUACAUAUCAGGAAGCAUGGAAGCAAUCUCGUAUUUUAAAGAGCAGGUGUCAAAGGUGCAGAGCUUGUCAUCGGAGCAAUACACACACUGUUAACUCCCAAAAAGCAAUGACAAUCUUGAAAGAUACUUCUGAACAACUUAGGAUUCAAAGAAACAAAUCAUAAGUGAGAGCUGAUAUCCCCCAAAUAGUUCCUGCUUCAUUACAACCACAAAUGUUACUUUUUUCUCUAAAGCUAAUCCUACACAAACAAAUGAUGAGUAGAUUCAAUCAGACCAAUUUUGUGCCAAAAAGAACCAGAUUAAUAUUUGAUAGUACAAACUGGAGUGGGCCGAUCAAUAUAAGCACUAUCAAUAUAAUACACUAUAUUGACUGAUCAAUAUAAGCACUAUCUUGACUGGCAAAUGCUUAGCAAAUCAAAUACACAAUGAACAUAUUGGUAACAAAGCAAUAUAUAACUUAAACUGCUAGUAUAUAUACUCCUCUUCCUUUGGAAAGCCGUUGCUUGCUUUAAUUUUUGCUAAGCAUUUGCAACUUGCAAGUCAAGAUAAUGCUUAUAUUGAUCGACCCCGUUGCACCGACCAAAACAGUUCUGCUAACUUCUAUCAGCUCAGCGUUAUGGGCCUUUCGUGAACACAAACUCUAUCAGCAGAAACAUAAAACACACAUAAAUAUAUUUAAGCGUUUUAUACAAAGAAUGUAUCACUCACGUAAAGAAUUUGGAGAUUCUCUUUAUCUUGUUGCUUAACGAAAAGCUUUAUGUUGAAUUUUUUUAUGAAAUCAACUUUCUUGUUUCGGUUAAGCAUGUGAUUGAAGGACGUGGGAACCGUCCCAUCUUUGACUGAUAGAAUUUUCAAGGGAACAUGUCUUGUAGCUCUCGUGAAAACAUUAUCCGAAGGUAUUUAGGGUUUCCAAAGGCCCAUCUCAGCUUUGAUUGGUAAUAAACAAUAGCCUAGUAAUAUAUUAUGGCCUCGAUAUAAAGCUUAAUGAUUAAUGAAUAAAUCCUCCUGUACAUUAAAAGAGAAGUGACUUCAGUGGUUUCUACUGACGUGGUAAUCACAUAGAGCUUCUCAGAAAAAUUCUUAUAAUUCUAUUGGUUGAUUUUUUCGAAUUUUCUUCUUCUUUUUUAUUCAAUCGCGCAUCAGAUAAGUUUGAAACCGAUAAAGACGGUCCGAACAGAUGAGUUUGCUUCUCGACACUCUGAAGACUCAAUCAGAUCAAUGGCAGCAAGGAGCGACGAGUAGAUGAGUUUCCUUCUCUCCACCAUCGAUCAGAUCGAUGAGGUGAAGUUUGUCGAUACUCUGUUAAUAUACAGAGUUUUUGGUUUCUCUGAUUGGGUUCGAUAGCGAUUAUCGCCAGCUGAGAUUGAAUUGAAAUUUACUCUCGAACCGAUUUAAUUUGUAAGAUAGAAACUACGAUCUGCUUAUUAAUAUUUUGAUACUUUGUAUCUAAUUGAGUGAUUAACCUGCAGAGAUCAAAAGGUUGAAGAAGCUACAUACAUAAUCGUUAAACAACUUCGUUAACCAGGUAUUAUUAACUUUUGAAGUAAAAUGAAAUAGCCAAUAUGCAUAAGCCACGUAUGGGGUGUUUACCAAUCCUACAUUCUCUUAUUUAGACAGCGGUUGUGUCAAAUUAUAUCAUUUUUGAUUUAUUUUUUUCCUUUUUCCUCUUUAGAACCUCAACUAAAAUCCACCGUUGGAAGUGGUCUUAGCUCUAAACAAAUAUUAUAAAAUAAUCAAGACUAGUUCUACUAAUCACCAACCAAGUAAAGGAGGAGUCAACGAGGGAUCAUUUGAUUAUACAAUAUUAUAUGCCUAAGCUAGGUUCAUGUGGUUAGCUCUAAGCUAUUAUAAAAUAACACAAUCCAAAUCAACAACGUGAUCAUGGCUAAAUCUAAUCAUUAAAAGUGACUUAUAUCAAUGUCAAUAGUAACAUCAACAGAGAGAUUAGCUGCCAUCAAGGCUCUGGAAGCAAUGAAAUCAGAGACAAACCUCUCCAUGAACCUGAAGAUAGAAGAGAACGAUUGAAUCAAAUAAGAUGAGACUGAGAUUGGAUCAAAUAAGAUGAGACUGAAACAGAAAACAGAUCAUCAGGAUUCAGAAUCAGAAUAAUCACCCUUGGGGAAGCUCCUCGAGUUAUCGCUCGCAAACUCAACGAUGUCUCCAGCCAUGUAUCUCUUCCACAGAUCGUUGAUCUUAGUAUCAAGAGUCUGUUUGUUCACCAUCGUUUCUUUUCUUCUGGUUCUUAGAGAAAGAGUGAGAGAGCAGGAGAAUAGAACGUUGGAUCAGAUUCCAAUCUGGCUUCUUCAACCAUUAGAAACUUCUCUUUAGUCUUCAGAAGCUCCUCUUCAGACAUAAAGAGCUGUGGGCAACAAGAGUUCAAGUACUGAACGUAGCUGAACUAGUCACAAAUUCAUAAUAACAUACAUAAUAACAUCUAGCGAUCGAUUAGAUAUACCAAAUCGUGUGAAUCAGAGUGACUUACAUUAGCGAUGUCAGCAGCAACAGGGAGGUUAGCAUUCAUCAACGCUCUUAAACCAAGAAAAUCAUCCACGAAGAUUCCGUGAACCUGCAAAAUAAGAGAUAGAGAGAAUCUGUAUCAAAUAAGAUGAAAGACUGAAACAGGAAACAAGAGAAUCAUCAGGACUUAGAAUAAUCACCCUAGACAAAGCAUUGACUGAUAAGUACGAUCUGAAUGUAUCUCACAUGUGGACAAUCUUUGUAAUUUAUUUUCGACAUAAAUGUUGACAUUAGACAAUGGUAAAGUGCAGCUAGAAGGGAACAUAAAAGUUUAUAGCAUAUCCAUUGAUAAUUUGGAAUUGCUUUGUAAAGAGUUGUUUUAUACAUUUGCAGUAUAUAGGUAAAACAUUAAACUUCUUGUUUUUGUUUUGUUUUGUUUUCUUUGUACUCAACAUCAAACUUUCAUAACCGACAAAUAGCAGGCUUAUCACCAGCCUCAACAACGACUCCUUUUGCUGAACACAAAAGUUACAUCAAUAAUUGACUGAACUUAUGUACUAUCAAGGCGAAGAAAAAAAAACUGACAGCAAAACUUGGCUCGUUCUUGUGUAACAUAUAAGAAAAACACAUGCAUAAAUUACACAAUAACAGAAAAGAACUAAUAUUACUUACAAAGCUUAAAAAAAAGAAAAUUCAAUAAGAUCUAAACAUUUGGUCGAGAAUGAUGGUAAAUGCCAUGGCCACAUGAGGCUCCAUCUCCGAUUCAACUAUUAGUUUAAAAACAUCUUUUCCAAAGGCAACUCCUCCGACCAUUGCCUCUUUCCUCUUGAUCUCAGCUGCUUUCUUCUUGUUCCUCCUCUCGUCCAAUAUUUUGCAGCUUCUUUGGCCGAAUGAUCCUUCUAUCUCGUAUAGUAAUGUCUUCUUGGUGCUAACCCACGCCAAGCUCCUCCGGUUUGUCAUUAUACUAACGUUUUUUCUCGCUGUGAAUAUUGGGUCUCUUUGUGUUUCUCCAUCGUAUACCAUCCAGCAAUCUCCCAGGCUCAGUUUCUAAUCAAAUAGGUUAAAAAAAGGAAAAUUCAAGAGUUAGUUCCAUAAUAACAUGGUUAUAUAAAACAAACAUUCAUGUAAAGAUUCAUUAUGUGAAUCUGUCAUGUACUUAUAAUGGUUGACCAUUGUGGAUGUUUUAAAUAACAAGGUUAUUUGGCUCAAUACUUAAUACUUUUUUUAACGCUGAUUUAUUUUGCUAUUGCAAAUUGUGAGAAUUAUUACAUAGACAAGUUUAACAACUGACAAUUAUUUGGUUCAAGACUUUGGUUAUCAAAAAGAAUAUAGAAACAAAGAGAGAACAUGUACCUUGCGCCGGAUAGAGAGUAGGGGUAAGCCAUAAGCGUCCAUAAGGACGAUGUUGUCUUUAGAAGAGUUCAUGUAGUUGUCAACCCUAAAGACAAGAUCUCCAUUAGAGUUGUAAACUGUGAAUCCAUCACAGUUGAAGAGAAGGGACUUCUUCCACACCGUCAAAACUGCGGCUGCUUUACUAUCACACAAGCUCUCCUCGCAAGUGUUUGGGAGCUUUGGGUGAACUUUUGUCAUCUCUUUUCUUUGUUUCUGUCUUGUUUUCGUUUGGUGAGGUUUGAUGAUUGUUGUUGGAGUAGAUGAGCUGAUCUUUGUUUGUUGGACAAAUGAGAAGAGGUCGUUGCGUGUUUAUAAAUACUAUUGUAGAAAGUGAGAAAGAAUGUGAUGCUUAAAUGAAAAGAAUGGUGUCAUCUUCUUGUUGUCCACUAGAGAGAUAUCGUUGUCAGUCUAUUACUAUAAGAUAUCUACUAGUCGCAAAUUUAGGUACUUGUUAAAAAUAUAUAUAUAUAAAUUAAUUGAUUCCUUUCAAUAAACAAAUAUUAUUAAUUGUUUAUCAAUACUUAAAAAAUUAACGUAUCAUUUAAUCUCACCUAAACUCCAGCAAAAUAUCAUUUAGCAACCUUGUAUUUUGUCCCUGCAAAAUAACGUAUGGUUUCACACGUAUUAUAUGCUGCUGAUAUUUAAUCUAACGCUCUAGUUAUAUAUAAAAGAAAAUAAUUCAUAAAUAACUCUAGUUUCUAAUUCAUUUGGCCGAUAUUUUAGAGAACUUUACAAAAUGAACCGAUUAAUAAAUAUUGUUGGUAACUGCAUGGCGUUUUUAAGUAUUGAUAAACUAAGUAAUUUGUUCAAGGCAAAUCUAAAAAUACGUUUAAAAUAUGUUCUUAUCAUCAUUUAUUAACGAUUAUUUCAUGCAUCUUAUUUUCUCUUCUAUAUACGUUUUUAUAAUUUAUAGAAAAAUAUAAUUUACACGUCAAACAUUUGUCAAAUCUUUCUCUCUAUAUUUGUGUGUACAUUUUUGUUAUGAUCACUGAUAGAGAAUAUUAUUGUCUCAAAAGAAAGGAAAAGAAUCUAUACCAUGAAAAACCUACGGGCCAUAAUCCAUCGCCAUUUCGAGUGCAUCUUUUUACAAUGAAAAGACGAGUUUCUAUAUGAAAUAUACUUCCAACUUUUUGCAUUAAUAAGUAUUUCUGCUGGAUUAACGCAUUAUUCUCGAAAAAUUGAACCCAUAGGCCAAAGUAAUAUAUGAUAUAUCUUCUCUAUGUGGAUCAACUUGUAGCAUGUUCCAAAUCCCAAACCUGGUUAUUGGCUCGAUAAGACCAAUUAUGUUGCAAAUAUCAGAUAAUAUAUAUUUAUUAACAUCAAGCUUUGAAUAAUUACCAGAGACAUUUUGAGCCAAGUGAAAAACAUAAUCUAGUGGGAGGAUAAGAACGGGUGGAAAGCAAAGUUCAAAUAUAUAUAAAUAAACAAAAGGCAAUUUCAAAGUUUCAAACAAGGACAUGACAUAGAAACGAGUUAAGAAAUUGAGUUUUGAACCAAUCCUUGGUUUUAAUAUGAUGUAUGAUGAAUAAUCAAAGCUUAAGAAUAAAAUUAUGUGGCUGAGAAGCGAUUAGCGGUGGGGAAGAGAGAAGACAAAGCCAUCCCAACAAAAUUCCACCAAUUAUUUUACUUAAAAAGUUUAAUAUAAUAUUUUCCUUGUGAUAUUUUUCCCACGUCCAUUGUUAUAACAAAAUGUCCCACUUACGUUGACAUCUCUCUUACAUUUUUGUAUUCCUUUCGUUAUCUAUCGUUUGUUUAUAAACAAAAAGAUUGCGGUUUAUGCGUCAUAUGCACACAAAAAGUGAUUACGACCUUUGAGAGGUAAGACACGUCCCACUUUUCACCAAGUGAUUGAUAACUACGCUCUGAACUUGGAACAAUAUAUGUUUCUCUUUGCUUUCACACUAUGAAUACAACCUAAGUUGUCUCUCCUACUAUUACCAAAUAUUCUGAUUCCUCACCUUGGUAGCUGUACCUUAUUGUGUGUUUUGUAUUAUAUGAUCAUUUUGCAUCCUACUAUCUAGUAAAACUCAAAUCCAUUAUAGAGUCAAUCUAUUUCAAAAGAAAAUAUAGAAUACUACAUUUGAUAUGCUAUAAGUGAAUGUAGGUGUUUGAGCAAAUCUAUGUAACCUGGUAGUAGAUAUCAUGGGAAAUCGGCUAAUUCCUACAUCAACACAGUCCAGCGGUCCCGAUCAGUACAUAAACACAUAAGCUGUGCAAAUACAUACAUGAACACGUAGUUAAUUCAAAUAUCUUACACGAACUAACAAAAUUCGGUUUUUGCAUACAUUAACCAAUUAUCCGUUAGUCAAACGUAACGGAAUCUGAGCUGUCCGUUAUAUACCAUUACGUGGCUUUUUACGUUUUUAAAUAAUGAAUAAAUUAAUAAAAAUAAAAUAAAAGAUGGUUACAAGGGGGAGUCGAACCCUGGUUUGAGAUAUACCAAUCACAAGAAGAAACCAUUGUGCCAGACCCAACCUAUUGUUUAUAGUCCCAGUUGUUUCGUAUUUAUACAAAUAUUUCAUUCACAUAUUUCUUUUUUUUUUCUUUCCAUGUUUGACUUAUCAUCCAAAUUGUUCCAAAACAAAUUCAAAUACUUUUUUGUUCUCUUUCUCCUUUUCUUGUGGAAAAAAUAAUUUUUGUAUAUUCAAAAAAAUAAAAUAAAAUAAUAUAUAUUAUUAAAAAGGAUUACGUACGUUGGAAUUGUCUUCUACCUUUAUUAUCUCUUUGUGAAUUUCUAUUUUUAAAAGAUAAUAUUUACUUUUAAUAAUCAACCCGAUAAACAAAAUUUCAAAUGUCCAUUACAAGCUUAAAUUGAACAAAACAAAACUAAUUCAAAUAUUGCACGUCUAAUUUCGUUCAACUACCACACCGGCGCGUUCCGCUAAACCGAUCUAUAAUCCUUAGUAAAAUCAAUUCCCUUUUUGAACUAGUUCAUUCUCUUGUUGAAAUAUUUAAUAUGCUUUUGUUUAAAUUUUGAGUAAAUUUUUUUUCAGUUUCCAGUAAUUGUAAGAGAACGUUAGAAACAUAAGGGUUUGCAAAUAAACUCAAAUUCAAACAAGAGGAAAUUAAAAAAUUUCAGCAAGAGAACGAUCUUUCGAUCUCUUUCUCACAAAAAUAUAGUAAAGCUAGAAAUAACUUCAAUGUAUAUAUUAUUAUUUUAUUUUUUUGAAUAUAUAAAAAGGUUAUUUCUUCCACAAAAAAAACAAAAAAAUAUUUGAAUAUUUUUUCAUUUUGUUUGGAUGAUAAGUCUAUUUUCUGAACAAUUUGGAUGAUAAGGUCUACCACAAAAAAUAUAUAUAUAUAUAUGUGAAUGAAAUAUCCAUUAGGUAUAAAUGGGAAAUCAUUGGGAGUACAAAUAAUAAGUCUGCCUUGGCACAGUGUUUUAGCAUGUGUUGGAUAUUGCUUAGACCCAGGUUCGAUUCCCCCCUCUAACCAUCUUUUAAUUUUUUUAUUAAUUUAUUCAUUAUUUAAAAAUGUAAAAAGCCACGUAAGCAAUAUAUAACGGACAAUUCAGAUUCCGUUACGUUUGACUAACAGAUAAUUGGUCAAUGUAUGCAAAAACCGAAUUUUGUUAGUUCGUGUAUGAGAUUUGAAUUAACUACGUGUUUAUGUAUGUAUUUGCACAGCUUAUGUGUUUAUGUACUGAUCGUGACCGCUGGACUGUGUUGAUGUAUGAAUUAACCGUUUUCCCGUAGAUAUCAUUCUUAUCGUCUUCUACAUUGGUAAUAAUGAAAAAAACUUGCACAAUGACAAAUGGAAAAUAACGUGAGUAAAAGAAUGAUGGGACACCUCUCUUUACCAAAAAUCAUAUACAACAUCCAAGUUUCUUUUCGAAAUCAUAAUAUCAAAGCUGAUUUUGCAAUCAUCUUCAUCACUGUCUCUUAAAAAAUCAAUUUGCUAAUCAUUUUUUAACCCACUUCUGCUAGCUUCUUCCCCUUUCAGCAUUUCUUCUGCAAUGCAUUCGGGUUUAUUUACCCCCACAAAAAAAUGAGAUGCCACUCUAAAUCUUUUUUUCUUUGCGCGUGUGACUUGCUUCUACAGCAUUGUCCCCGUGUAAUUUCUUCUACUUACUCUCUUUCUCAUCAAGGAUUCACGUUACAGUCACUCAAGAAUCCGUCUUCCCUGUUCAGAUGCUUUCUCCAAUAGCUUUUGUACUGUGGGAUUCCCAUCUCUAGCCACGGCUUCAUGUUCCCAUUGUAGUGCAACGUCGCUGCGUUCUUUAUCGUUUGGGGUUUGAUAUAGUAGUCAUAACCAAGCCCUGAUAGAGCCCAUUUGUCUUCAAGAGCAUAUACUUUGUCUUGAAACGUAAGCAAGCUUGCUUUCAAUGCAAUUGCUUCUCUCGGCUCAGCUCCACCACUCAUCUGCCACACACCAAAACAAGAAAUAAGCAUAACGAAACACCCAAUUUCUCUUUCAGGUUUUUUCAGAAAACUGACCUGUUUGUAAAAUUUAUGGUAUGUUUCUGAGACUCCCAGCUCCCUCCAUCUAGCAAGAUCAAUGACAUUCAAUCCAGACAUCCAGAGACAAGCAUUAGCAUCAAAACUUCCUCUCUUGAGACUCUUUAGCUGACCUAAUCUCACAGAGCACGACUUCACUGCGCCGUUCACUUUUCCUUCCAUAUCAAGCUCCCAAAGAGGAGACAAGUCUCGCUGGACCACAACGUCAUGAUCCAGAACCACAACCUUUUCCAACUUAUGAAAUAUUUUCGGAAGAAGAUAGUGAGAUCGAGAGAAAAUUGAUAAGUAGUCUGCUCUAUUGUCACCACUUGGGAAGGAGACACGGAACUCUGUAGGCAAAGACAGCUUCAUAUCAGACUGAUCAAGCUCCAUUUUCUCAAUGUUCAAGACUUGAAUAGCUGCUUGUUUGCAGGGAUUCCUGAUGAACCAUUGUUUCAUCGCAAAGUAGUUCUGCUCGUCGGUCAGUACAUGGAAAACAAAGUUUUUACUUUCCUGAAACAUCAACAAUCAACCAAGAAUCAGACAUAACAUAAGGGUCCUAUGAUUGCAUGAACAAGAACAAAAACUGGAUUUAACACAUACCCUUGCGUGUACAGCCGUUGAGUUGAUCACAACGGAAGAUGCAAGUAUAUUAUCGGAGAUGAUAACAAAGUGAAGCAACGAGGGAUCUGAAAACUUCUCACUAUCCUCAAUAUCAACUGAGCCUGACUUGAAAUGCUCCACAGUUAGCCUCAUUGACAAGCAAUGAAGACUCUUAGGCAUUGUCUGCACCGCAAGCUGGUAGAGGAACACACUCUGUUUCAUGUGGAAACUUGCUUCAUCCUCAGUCAAAUCCAGGAUCUGUCUCAGUUUCUUGUCAACAUUGUUACAGUCAACCGGAAAAGACUUUGCCUUUGAAAUCACACCUUCCAUCUUCUCAAACUUCUUAUCAACCCUUGUAGAAUAGUGGAAAGAUACACACAAUAAGUAAGAUUUAAGGAAAUUAGCAGAGGAUCUACACAUACCCCAAACUGGUAAAGGACUUACUGUGGUGGAAGGUCACCAUCAGCUGAACUUUCACUAAGAAUACGCUCAAACUCUUGGAUGUUCUGUUUCAUAUCCCGAGUCAGCUUGCUUUGAGAAGGCAUUUUAGCAAUACUUGGGUAGUACGCUCUAGCCACAAAUAGCAGGUCCUUCAUAUGCUUCACCUUGGAAUCUUUCAUCGGUUCCUUAUUUUCCUCCCUCCAGAGACAGUAACUCCCGUAUUUCACUUGACAAGUUCUCUGACUUUCAUCAACACUAACUACCGCCCGCUGAACACCUUUGUACGAGACUUCAGUUUUUGUUUUCUGUUCACAGAAUAAAAAACUUAAGACGAAUUGGUGAUAGUAACCAAGAAAAAAGAUGUAUACUAGAGAAACCACUUAAUACAUUUGCAGGGCUUGGGUUGGCAACAACAGCUGGGGACACUGGUACUCCUGCAGAUUAAUUGAGGGAUCAGAAUCAAAAAUAAAACACUUGGGGAGGAAUUUUUAGAAAAAGUGAACCUUUCUUCUUAGAAUCACUGAUGCUUGUCCUAUUCAUAUCUCUGGAACCACCGUUUAUGUCCCUUUUCUAGCGCAUGUGAAACAAGAGGAAAAUAAAAAAAACUUUAAUUAACCAUCUCAUGAAUACAUGAAGCAACCUAAUUCAUGAAUAUGUAUUUCACCUUUCCAGACACAUAACACAGUCAAAUAAAAUAAAAUUAAAUUCACUCAUUCAUCUAAACUAGUCACUUUUCAUUAUUUCUUACUAAUGUUAGCAUUCACAUGCUUUAUAGUAAGAUCAAACUAGACAAACCACUAUAAAGAACCAACCUUGGGAAGCACUGGGUUGAGUUUUUGAAGAACCUGAUCAACUCUCUCGGAUACAUCUCUCUGCAAGCAAGCUAAACGACUUUUGAAACCAAUCAAAACGACAGAGAGGGAGAGAGUUAAACAAUUUACCUGUGAAUGUUGAGUAGCAUUGAUUCUGCUAAAGCUCUCAUACUGAUUCCAAAAGAAAGUUAGUUAGAACUUAGAACCAAAAAAAAAUAAAAAAUCAAACAAUUAAGGAAACAAAAUGCUUACAGGAGUAGAUGGUUGGAGAGUGACGACGAGGCCUGAAGAUAAUAAACGUAGAGAUUAUCAGAUGAGAAUAGAUCUGAAACAGAGAUCGAAGAGAGAGAGAGAGUUACCAGGAGAGUGGAAGCUGUUGUGAAGGCCGAGCAAGAAAGCUAGAGGAACCAGCAUUGAUAGGAUCACAAGAACCAUUACUCCUAUCACCAGAACUUUCCACCGCCGUUUUCCUCCGCCGCCUCCUCCUCCUCCGCCUUUCAUUUUUUCCGAUUUAGAUUUCAAUCAAUCAAUGCCUUUUUCAAAUUACGAACCGCAUUGGAUCCCUAAAACGACGGCGUUUUAUCUCCUCUGAUACACACUCUCGUUCAAACACUCAAGUGCUGCCACUAUGCCCUGAUCGCAUUUGCGUGUUUGCUUGCUUGUUACUUGGAAGGAAGAAGGAAGAGAGAGAGCACACCCCAACACUUUCCUCGCACGUGUGGAACUGUCUCUGCCGUUUGAUUAUCCCAACCCACUUGCGAGAUCUAUCUCCUGAUCACGACACGUGUUAUUUUCACACGUGUCGUGAGUAUUAUUAUUAUUUAGUUCGUUUUUAAUAGUCUCGCCGGUAAAUCCUAAAACGCCGAGCAGGCCUAGCGAUAUUCAUCACCACCGUCAACGCCAUUGACAGCUUAUACACUUUGGUAAUCUCUCUUCCUCCUCCUCCUCCUCUGUACCAUGUAAAGAGAAUUGAUUGUGAAAGCAUAUGACUUUUUUGGUUUAAUCUACUUUGCGUUAUUUGUUUGUGUGGAUGUAAUGAAGGAGAUGAGCCAUCAAAAGAUUGAGACUUGAUGUUAUCACUCUCUCAUAUGCAUUGUUUAAGCUUUAUCUGUGUAAGAAUCUCUUGUCUUGUAUGGUCUGUCUGUUCUAAUGAGGUUUCUUUCAAUGCUGUUCUGUUUUCUUCAUGUGAUUCAGUGACUGCUACUUUUCAUUUUCGAACAUGUUACUGAUCGCGAGGAAAGCUUUGGGCCUUUAUGUUACUUGUUUGUUCUAAUUAUGAAAGAUUAAGCCUUUAUGUUAUCACUCUCAUGUGCAUUGCUUAAGCUUUAUCUGUCUAAGAUUCUCUUGUCUUGUCUGUUUGUUCUAAUUGGGUUUCAUUUGAUUCAGUGACUACUGCUACUUUUUGCGUUUCGAGCAUGUUAUUAAUCGCGAGGAAAGCUUUGGCCUUGGCGCAUAACAAGACUAUUCGUUUAACGACAAGGGAAGUGCACUGCUUAAGCUCCAUCUUACUCUCUCCUCCUCUUGUGUCUCUUGACUUGCCUGAAAAUUGGGUUCCUUACUCUCAUCCUCCAUCCCCUGUUGCCUUCGGUAACUCUCUCUCUCUCCCUCCCUCCUCUAGUGUAGUGCAUUGACUUCUGCAAUCUUAGUUGUACACCUUUUGUUCUCUGUUUACUACAGAGGGUGAACAGAAGACUGUGGUGAUUGAUGGAAAAUCUAUCGCAGAAGAGAUCAGAACGAAGAUUGUUAGUGAAGUGUGGAAGAUGAAAAACGAUGUUGGCAAAGUCCCUGGUCUUGCGGUUGUGUUGGUCGGCGAACAAAGAGACUCCCAAACUUAUGUGCGGAACAAGAUCAAAGCUUGUGAAGAAACUGGGAUUAAAUCUGUUCUGGCUGAGUUGCCUGAGGAUUGUACAGAAGGAGAAAUCAUCACUGUAUUAAAAAAAUUCAAUGAAGACACAUCUAUUCACGGAGUUCUCGUGCAGCUUCCUUUGCCCCAGGUGUGUUUCACAUUGCUUUUGUGUGUAAUAUGAGUCAUGACAUUGUGAUGGUGGAUGAUGAUAGUAUAUUGUGUGCAGCAUCUUGAUGAAGCAAAGAUAUUGAAUAUGGUGAGGUUAGAGAAAGAUGUUGAUGGGUUUCAUCCAUUAAACAUGGGGAACCUUGCGAUGAGAGGGAGGGAGCCGCUAUUCGUAUCUUGCACCCCUAAGGGAUGUGUGGAGUUGUUGAUCAGAGCAGGUGUUGAGCUAGCAGGAAAAAACGCUGUGGUGAUUGGAAGAAGCAACAUCGUUGGUCUCCCAAUGUCUUUACUAUUGCAGGUAUUAUUAGUUUUUUGCUAGUUACUGUGAUAGGCUUCUUAUGCUUGAGCAUUUAUUUGUCUUUGCUGACAUUAUUGGGUAGAGGUAUGACGCUACAGUAAGCACGGUGCAUGCCUUUUCAAAGGAUCCAGAGCACAUUACCAAGGAAGCUGAUAUUGUGGUUGCAGCCGCGGGUGUGCCUAAUCUUGUUCGUGGAAGUUGGUUGAAGCCUGGUGCAGUUGUCAUCGAUGUGGGGACAUGUCCUGUUGAGGUAUUCUGCUACAUAAAAACUUAGGUUAGAGCCUAAAUAAAGAGACCAAAUGUUUGUUCUUGGGUAUGAUGUUUGGCAGGAUAGUAGCUGUGAGCAAGGUUAUCGUCUUGUUGGGGAUGUAUGCUACGAGGAAGCGUUAGGUGUUGCCUCAGCGAUUACUCCUGUACCUGGAGGAGUCGGUCCCAUGACGAUUGCCAUGUUACUAUGCAAUACCUUGGAUGCUGCGAAGCGGACAUCCUUGUGAUAAAUAUAGCUAUCUCUGUCUUAUAACUAAAGAGUCCAUGUUGUUGGGGGGUUGAUCACAAAUUGACAAUCCCUUUUGAAUUUUGAAUUAUCAUGUUGUUACAGACAAUGGUUGAUGUCUGAUAUAGAGAAGCUCUUUGUCAGAGUAGAGUUUAAUGAUUUUGUUCUAGUAUCUGGUUUCUAGAUAACAGUGGAAUGUUUAUGUUUCAUUGGCGUUUACAAGAUGAGGAAGCCAUGGUAGUUAUGCAUGUGGUAGUUGUUGGAUCAUGAGUAGUAGUAGUUUGCAUGUGACGUCAAAGGUUGAAGAAUGAGUGAAGCAAGAUGUGUCACAUGAAGUAUCACGGAACAAAUGCUUGCUUCAAUCGUUACACGUGAUGUUGAAAGGGGAAUAUUCUAAAGACACUCUUUAAAUCCCUUUAACCCGGUUUGCAAUUUCGGUUUCAUCAGCUGUUAAUUUUUUAUUUAUUUCACUCUUAUCUCUCUCUUUUUCAUCUUCAAGAUAAUUAAAACAAACACAAAGUAACCUAAUCUUGAUUUAGACCACAUUUUCCAUUAAUCUAGUCAUGCCAAAAAAUGUAUUUAGAACACAUUUUGAAAAUCAAUACUCUGACUUAAAAUCUUUGAGUAAUCCAAUUUUAUUAAAAAUACCUUUAUAAUAAAAGAGAACAGCUGUCAAUUAGUGAUGAUUUUCUUAAGUAGAUUUCUAAACACUAAUAUAUUAAUAUUUUAAGAAAUUUUAUUUGUAUGAUUACAAUUUUAGUGUUUUAAAAAGAAAUAAUAAUUACUUAGCUUAAUUACUAGAGAACAACAAAUGGUAUAUCAAUCUAAUCUUUCAGCAUUUUUAUAGAUUCUUCAUAUUCUUACCUUUCUUUUAUUUUUUUCAUUUUUAAUAGUAUUAAAUAUCAUAGAAAAUUAGUACAACUUUUACAAUUACCAGAUUUGGUAACUAAAAUAUUAAUUAUUUACUAUCUAAAUCUGAUUAGGAGCCAAAAAUAGUGUUUUGUCAACCAAACCGAAUAACUUACACCCGAACCGGUUAUUUAUAAUCACCCAACAAGCCCAAACCAUCAAAUUUCAUUUCGGUUUAGCUGCAUCAUCCAUCUCCAGAGAAAGAAAAAAAAAUUAAAAUGCGAAAAGCAUAAAUAGGAUUCCGAUUCCGAGUCUCAAGUUCCAAAGAGAAGAAACAAACAUCUCCUAGAGAUAGCGAUCUCGGCGAACAACGUGAAGGGAAACAAACGACGAUCCGAGAGCGAGAGCGAAAAGCAUUUUCCUCUGAAAACAAAAAUGGUGUGGGAGAAGGAGAAGAUCGUCGGAAGCUGUAUAAUCGGAGGAGCCACGUUCGCCGUCGGAGCUACGUUCCUCCACCUCUUCCUCAAAGGCGAACUUCCUCUAGGCCUAGGGCUAGGCGCGCGUUUGGUCUCGUUCAGAAAGCGGAGGCCCGUUCGCGUCUACAUGGACGGUUGCUUCGACAUGAUGCACUACGGCCACUGCAACGCGCUGCGUCAGGCGCGUGCUCUCGGUGACCAAUUGGUCGUUGGUGUUGUUAGCGACGAAGAGAUCAUAGCUAAUAAAGGACCUCCCGUUACUCCUCUUCAUGAAAGGUCUCUCUCUCUCUCUCUCUAUUGGUUGUUGGUGUUGUUAGCGAUGAAGAGAUCAUAGCUAAUAAAGGACCUCCCGUUACUCCUCUUCAUGAAAGGUCUCUCUCUCGAUCUCAAUUCAUUUGUUAAGGCCGGUCCUGAGAUGGUGAAUAACAAUGUUCAACGAACCGUUAUACAGUACUAGUACUUGGUGUUUUAUAGGGGAUUAUUGAUUAGGCGGGCGCAUAAACAGACUUUUUUGAUGCCCACAUUGAUUUUUAAAGGCCGGUCCUAGAAUUUAAGGGACUUAACAAAUGGUGAAUAACAAUGUUCAAUUAACGGUAUGUAGUAAUUAGGCGUUUUAUAGAAGAUUAUUGAUUAGGCAGGCGCUUAAACGGAAUUUUUUUUAUUUCCACACUGAUUUUUAAAGGCUGGUCUUAGAAUUUAAGGGACUUAACAAAUGGUGAAUAACAAUGUUCAACGAACGGUAUGCAGUAAUUGGACGUUUUAUAGAAGAUUAUUGAUUAGGCAGGCGUUUAAACGGAAUUUUUUUUAUUCCCACACUGAUUUUUAAAGGCUGGUCCUGGAAUUUAAGGGGCGUAACAAAUGGUGACUAACAAUGUUCAACGAACCAGUUUUAUAGGGGAUUAUUGAUUAGGCGGGCGCUUAAACAGAAUUUUUUUAUGCCCACACUGAUUUUUAAAAUAAAUCGUUUUGUCUAGGUUCAAUCUUUGGCCUAAACGGGCAAGUAAACGAAGUCUAGACCAGUUUUUAGAAUACUAAUAAAUAAUGUGUAUAUAUAAGCCGAGACGAGGCGAAUGUUUCAUCUCAUUACGUCCAAAGCUGGCUUUGCCUUGUAUAACAGUGACAAUUACGGAUUAGAACUAAAUGAUCAAUAUAUAUAUGUCUUAAAUAAUUUGGGGGUAAAUGAUGUAUACAUAUUAACCAUAUGGGGCCUAGGCGGAUGUUUCAUCUGGCUAUGACCAAAACCGGCUCUGCCUUGUGUAUUUAGUUGUGUUGUAUGUUUAUUUUUUUUAUAUGGUUAUCUCAGGAUGGUGAUGGUGAAGGCUGUCAAGUGGGUGGAUGAAGUUAUAUCUGAUGCUCCUUACGCCAUCACUGAGGAUUUCAUGAAGAGGUUGUUUGAUGAGUACCAGAUUGAUUACAUCAUCCAUGGGGAUGAUCCUUGCGUUCUUCCUGAUGGAACUGAUGCUUAUGCAUUGGCUAAGAAGGCUGGGAGGUACAAGCAGAUUAAGCGCACUGAAGGAGUUUCGAGCACUGAUAUCGUUGGUAUAACUUACAUUCAUUUUAGCUCGUAUCAGCUGUAUUUGUUCAUCAAUUCAGGAUGCUUAGAGGAAAGUGUCUUUCUUUUCAUGUUAAGGGGAGAUACGAACUGCAUCAUGUUUAUGUAAUCAAGUGCCAUGAUAGCUUAGAUCUUGUGUAAUUACAUUCAAGUUUAUAAAUCUUUGCAGGUCGCAUGCUGCUCUGUGUAAGAGAAAGAUCGAACAGUCAUAGUCAUUCGUCACUGCAAAGGCAGUUUAGCCAUGGACAUAAUAGCCCAAAGUUUGAUGACGGAGGUUCCUCAGCUGGUACUCGCGUCUCACAUUUUCUUCCUACUUCCCGCAGGAUCGUUCAGUUCUCCAAUGGCAAGGUACGAGAGUCUUGAAGAGUGCCCUCUUCUCAAGUUUAGCUAUUGCAUAUUUGGAAUUGUGUAUAUCUCUAUUUAUUUCUUGAUGAUCUAGUUGGUUGAACUGGUAGGUACAUGACUCUUAAUUUCUAAUAGCUAUGCAAUUUCUGACUCUCUUUUUUAGUUGUUAUAAUUAUUAAAGAGAACGGGUGACAGCUUUCAUCAUCGGUAUGGGAACACUGUCUGGUUGAGUCUUGGUUCUUACCUUCUGAAACAUAAAUAGUUCACCCUGUCUAUGAUCAUUUCACCGAUUACCGGAUACUUUUUGUGUGUUUAUCUGUACUUUACCUAUUGAGUGACAGAAAGUUGCUUCGCAUCUCGUUUUAUUGCCUAUGUUAAUUCAUGCACGCUAGAUUAAACUUAAGAUUAUACUCUUUGGUUGAUUCACUUUUCUCCUCCUCAUUUUUUUUUAUCUGGGGUUGAUUAAGAGUACAUGAUUAUGGUGACAGGGGCCAGGACCGGAUGCACGCAUAAUUUACAUUGAUGGUGCUUUUGAUCUUUUCCAUGCUGGCCAUGUUGAGGUAUAGUACGUUCAUUUGGGGGCAGACAAUUUAGCCAUGUUAACUAUGUUUGUCGACCAGUCCAACUAGAAUUCCCUAAAUAUUUUUGAGGGAUCAUCCAUUUUAUUACGCCAAUGUUGUUAAUUCUUUUUUUUUUCUUGAUUAUUCAAUUGGUACAGAUUCUGAGGCGUGCUCGAGAGCUUGGAGAUUUUCUUCUUGUUGGGAUACAUAACGACCAGACUGUCAGGUUCAAGAAAGCUCAACUUUGGCUGUUUUCUUUAUAGUGAUUUUUAUGCAUAAAUAUAUAGCUCUUGUCCCCAUUCUGGAUUAGAUGUGCAUAAUUGCAUCCCUGCUUAAAUUCUUCUGAUCAAAUAGUACUUGUUAUACGUUGAUGUGCAGUGCUAGAAGUGGAGCGCGUCACCCAAUCAUGAAUCUCCAUGAAAGAAGCUUAAGUGUUCUGGCAUGCCGCUAUGUAGAUGAGGUGAUAAUUGGUGCUCCUUCGGAAGUGUCAAAAGAUACCGUGAGCUUUCAUUCUUUACUUAAUAAUAAUACACAAUGGACUUUCAUGAAGAGCUAUCUUUGACACUGAUUUGGAUGAUGCAGAUCACGACAUUUGACAUUUCGUUGGUGGUUCAUGGGACAGUAGCCGAGAGCGAUGAUUUUCAAAAGGUAAAACAAGAUUCAGAUGGAUUUUAUAUAACAAGGCAGUAUACAAAGAGUUUAUUUCUCAGAAUGUGUUUGUUGAUGAUCUGACACAGGAGGAAGGUAAUCCGUAUGCUGUACCAAUAAGCAUGGGCAUAUUCCAAAUCCUGGAAAGCCCUCUUGACAUCACAACCUCCACCAUAAUCAAGAGGAUUGUGAACAACCAUGAAGCUUAUCAGGCAAGUUGCUUUUCUUCUACCUCAUUCAUUUUCUUAUUGCAUCACUCUGACCAAUCUCUAACUUCAAAAUCGUUCUGCAAUUUUUUUAGAAACGUAACUUGAAAAAGGAAGCUAGCGAGAAGAAGUACUACGAGCAGAAGGCUUUUGUGACUGGCGACUGAUAGAAUCUUGAAAGCUUUGUAAGAGCAGACCAUCUUUGGGAUGUGAAUCUGUUUCUCCUUAUAUUUAUAUCUCCGUAGUAGUCCGUACUGGCUAUAGUAGGAUGUUUCUGCAUCAGACUCGAAUGCUACAUAGUAUUACAUUUUGUUCUCUAGUUUUUAAACAUAAAAAGGGCAUUGAUGAUUUUAGCACCAAAUGCUUCUUUUAUUUUCUUCACGUUUGGGAUGUUUCAUCUAACUUUCUACUUUCGUUUUUGCGUACUGCAAAUAUGUUAGGAUUGUAUAUGUUCACUAUCUGAAGAUAAAACGAUGAACUUCAUUAGAAAUGGUAAGUGCGGUUGAGUUUCAGACAGUGGUGAAACAGCCAAAUCUUGUCUCUUUGAAACUGAAAUCAGAGAGAGCAUUACAGUUUCGAAUCACAAAUGCAAUGAUAAAUUAGGAGAGGUCCCAAACAGGACCAAUCUCGCAGGAGUUUGAUGGUGCAAAUCAGGACAAGGGCUUGCUGGUCCCAUUAAUAGCCGGGACAAGGCCUCUUGUGGCCUUCACGUAUGAAAGGUAUUCACUAUAAUGCAUGCUGAAUAAUGUGCUCUGGUAUCUUGUUAGCUGGAUUCGCCUACGCACUGCCUCAGUUAUUUCACCAUUGUAUCCGGCUUUACGCACCAGAGAAUCUAUUGCCUCUAUCUUUGUCCAGCCUGCCAAAAACUAGUCAUGUAAGCUUUGAUAUAUAUAAUAGUAUGAGAUUCAAGUAUUGCUCCAAACAAUGCGAAUGAAUCCUCAGGUCUAGUCAAACAUACAAACACCUAAGCAAAACUGGUACCUUCAUGAGCAGGCACCUCAGGGAGAUAUGUGGCGUUUCGCUUUAUAUUAGUCACAGGUUCAGUGAAUUCAAUGAUUAUACCAUGCGUUCCCACCUUCAUAGUCAAAUCAGACAAAACUAAGUGAGUGGGAAUAUCAACAUGAGGGAUGUGACAGGAGAAGGUUUAUCAGAUGUGUGGAAUGACUAGCAUGCUACUACUUGUCGGUACUAUAUUCUUAUUUUAUGUUUAGAAACAGGAGACUAAGAUGAAGAGUGAAGAGUGAAGACAGUACCUCCCAAUCAAGAUAAUCCUCUGCAUCUUCAUAAUCAGUCAAGACGGACACCGUGCAUUGCAGAAACGGCAGUUCUUUGGGUUGGAUUGGUGGGAACCUACGAUCCCUCAGGGCACUGUGAUAUUACAUAAAUCAAAAAGGUACAUUUAUAACAAAUGACAUUGUACAGAAGAAAAAAAAGAGGUAGAUUAAGCUAAUGGGCAAACGCCAAGGAAUAUCAAAAUGUGUGAGUAAGUUACCUGGUCAAGGCAUAGUCCUUGAAGCCACUGAUCAAGCGGCGUGCUUCAAGUGUACCAAUACAUCCACGCAAACGAGGCUCCCCACCGUUCACUAUUUUCUUCCAGGUGACAAACAAUGGGCUACAAAGAAAACAACCACUGGACUAUGAGUAAGAGAAGAUGAUGUAAAACACCAAAUCAUCCAAUCUAUUCUACAUAUUUACUACUACUGACAACAAGUGGGAGAUGAACUUGCAUGUCACUAACAUAACAAACACAACAGGAGUUUUAAUGAAACGUACUGAUUGGCGUCGUCAAAGGCAGGUGGAGGAGAGUCUUCGUUGUUGUAGUGAGAGACCAAAGUGUCGAAACAGUACACAGCCAUCUCUUUGUUCGCCGACGCCAUUGUGUGCUUUUGAAGAAAACAAAAAAAAAACAAAAUUAGCAAGUAGUAUAGUGUGAACCUGAAAUUAUCCAAAAUCCAACUUAUAAAAAUACAACUACUAAGCAUGUGACUGGAUUUAUAUAAAAGGAUUAUUUUCCCCCACAAAAAGAGAUUUAGUUUAUGCUUACAAACACAACCCAACACAACCCAAAAACGAAUCACACAAAGAAUAUAGCAUUCUCAGAGAUAAACUAAUAAAAUAAUAUGAACACUGAAUAGUGACGAUGAAGAUUGGAGAAGUAAAUUGAUCGUUUUUUUUUCUAUAUAUAUUAAUAUAUAUAUGGGGAUUAAAAUCAAAAGCCACCACGAAAUCUAGAAGGAGCAUAGAGAGAGAUCUGUGAUAAGAAUUGAAAAGUUCAAACAGAUAGAGAAAUCAAUUGGGAGGAGCAUAAUAAGCGGAUAAAACCUGAGGAAAGCGCAAAAAGAAUCGAAGAUCGGUGGUGAGAUUGUUAAAAGUGUGUUUUAUGUUUCAGAAGCAAAGCUUUUCUUUUAAGACACUGACAAUUGUGUUUGGCUGGUGUGUCUUUUUCUUGAAGAGGACUUUAAUAACUACUAUUUUAUAUCAGACUUUCACACUUGGGCCCAUUAUCCGGACAUAAUACCUGGACCCAAUAUCCAAACAUAACACUCGGGCCCAAGAAAUUUGUAUUUUUUUAAAUAAAAUUAAGAAGUUUCAUAUAUUAUGUUUAUAUAUAAAAUUAAGAAAUUUGUAUAUUAUGGUUAACGGUGAUGGUUCGCGUGAAAUCUUCCUCUCGGUGCUUGCCAUGAAUGAUGAUGGAUGAGAUCACGAACAGUUUUUGAAAUUGGGUUCACUUGAGUUGAAGACGUUUGCGGUGGUAAUGGUGUGAAGUCAGUGAGCUCUAGUGGAUCCGGGUGAAUCGACGGUUGGUUAUCCGAUGUUAUUUCGAAACGAGAGCGAUGUCGGAGCUGCAGCGUUUGUCCGCGCGGCGGCAGAGCCUCGUGUGUCCUAGGGUUUCAUAGUUGAACCUUAGGCCCAAAAUUUUAUUGUAUUUUGGUCCGUUUCUUUGGACUUCUGUAUGUUGUACUGUAGGUUUUUUAGGCCCGUUAAUCAAAUAUCUAUUGAGGGACGGUACUAUAUUCUUAUUUUAUGUUUAGAAACAGGAGACUAAGAUGAAGAGUGAAGAGUGAAGACAGUACCUCCCAAUCAAGAUAAUCCUCUGCAUCUUCAUAAUCAGUCAAGACGGACACCGUGCAUUGCAGAAACGGCAGUUCUUUGGGUUGGAUUGGUGGGAACCUACGAUCCCUCAGGGCACUGUGAUAUUACAUAAAUCAAAAAGGUACAUUUAUAACAAAUGACAUUGUACAGAAGAAAAAAAAGAGGUAGAUUAAGCUAAUGGGCAAACGCCAAGGAAUAUCAAAAUGUGUGAGUAAGUUACCUGGUCAAGGCAUAGUCCUUGAAGCCACUGAUCAAGCGGCGUGCUUCAAGUGUACCAAUACAUCCACGCAAACGAGGCUCCCCACCGUUCACUAUUUUCUUCCAGGUGACAAACAAUGGGCUACAAAGAAAACAACCACUGGACUAUGAGUAAGAGAAGAUGAUGUAAAACACCAAAUCAUCCAAUCUAUUCUACAUAUUUACUACUACUGACAACAAGUGGGAGAUGAACUUGCAUGUCACUAACAUAACAAACACAACAGGAGUUUUAAUGAAACGUACUGAUUGGCGUCGUCAAAGGCAGGUGGAGGAGAGUCUUCGUUGUUGUAGUGAGAGACCAAAGUGUCGAAACAGUACACAGCCAUCUCUUUGUUCGCCGACGCCAUUGUGUGCUUUUGAAGAAAACAAAAAAAAAACAAAAUUAGCAAGUAGUAUAGUGUGAACCUGAAAUUAUCCAAAAUCCAACUUAUAAAAAUACAACUACUAAGCAUGUGACUGGAUUUAUAUAAAAGGAUUAUUUUCCCCCACAAAAAGAGAUUUAGUUUAUGCUUACAAACACAACCCAACACAACCCAAAAACGAAUCACACAAAGAAUAUAGCAUUCUCAGAGAUAAACUAAUAAAAUAAUAUGAACACUGAAUAGUGACGAUGAAGAUUGGAGAAGUAAAUUGAUCGUUUUUUUUUCUAUAUAUAUUAAUAUAUAUAUGGGGAUUAAAAUCAAAAGCCACCACGAAAUCUAGAAGGAGCAUAGAGAGAGAUCUGUGAUAAGAAUUGAAAAGUUCAAACAGAUAGAGAAAUCAAUUGGGAGGAGCAUAAUAAGCGGAUAAAACCUGAGGAAAGCGCAAAAAGAAUCGAAGAUCGGUGGUGAGAUUGUUAAAAGUGUGUUUUAUGUUUCAGAAGCAAAGCUUUUCUUUUAAGACACUGACAAUUGUGUUUGGCUGGUGUGUCUUUUUCUUGAAGAGGACUUUAAUAACUACUAUUUUAUAUCAGACUUUCACACUUGGGCCCAUUAUCCGGACAUAAUACCUGGACCCAAUAUCCAAACAUAACACUCGGGCCCAAGAAAUUUGUAUUUUUUUAAAUAAAAUUAAGAAGUUUCAUAUAUUAUGUUUAUAUAUAAAAUUAAGAAAUUUGUAUAUUAUGGUUAACGGUGAUGGUUCGCGUGAAAUCUUCCUCUCGGUGCUUGCCAUGAAUGAUGAUGGAUGAGAUCACGAACAGUUUUUGAAAUUGGGUUCACUUGAGUUGAAGACGUUUGCGGUGGUAAUGGUGUGAAGUCAGUGAGCUCUAGUGGAUCCGGGUGAAUCGACGGUUGGUUAUCCGAUGUUAUUUCGAAACGAGAGCGAUGUCGGAGCUGCAGCGUUUGUCCGCGCGGCGGCAGAGCCUCGUGUGUCCUAGGGUUUCAUAGUUGAACCUUAGGCCCAAAAUUUUAUUGUAUUUUGGUCCGUUUCUUUGGACUUCUGUAUGUUGUACUGUAGGUUUUUUAGGCCCGUUAAUCAAAUAUCUAUUGAGGGAUAUGUUUAUAUAUUUUAAUAUACAUAAAAUAUAUGCUUUUUUUUCUUUUUGAUCAAAAAAUAUAUGCUUUCAAAAUAGAAAAAUCAAGUUUGGUUCUCCAAAAACCAAAAUGUUGAAAUUUCGAAUAUUAUAUUCUCUUAUUUUUUAAUAUAUAUCCAUCCACAUUCAAAAUUUGGAGUUUCUCCAGUGCACAAAAAUCGAGAUAGGGAUACAAAAAAAUUCUAAAUUACCGCCAAAAUAACAUUUCUUUCCAAAACUGACACUCGCUCUCCUCCUUCAACACACACACAAUCUCUCCUCGGGAUCUUCUUCACCCUUCAUCCUCUCUAGGGUUUCCCCCCCCAUCGUCGCGGAAAAAAAAAAGAAAGAAGAAAAUGUCUCUAUCUUCAUCCACCACCACCACCACUUGCACUUCCCUCCUCCAAGAACUACAGGUUCGAUUUUGAAUUCCCACGAUUCAAUUGAUCAGAUUCAAUUGCGUCUUGUUCUGUAGAAUUGAGAUUGUUUUUUUUCUUAUGCAGAUCAUAUGGGAUGAGAUUGGCGAAGGCUACAGCGAGAGAGACAAGAUGCUGCUUGAACUCGAGCAAGAGUGUCUCGACAUAUACAACAAGAAAGUUGAGAAGACUCGCGAUCACAGAGCUGAGUUGCAACGAUCGUUAUCUCAAUCCGAAGCUGAGAUCGCCACCCUCGUGUCUGCGCUCGGUGAACAAGCCUCCUUCUCGAAGAAAGAAGGCUCUUUGAAGGAGCAGAUCUCUUCUGUGAAGCCUGUGUUGGAAGAACUGAUGGUGAAGAAGGAUCUGAGAUGGAAGGAAGUGUCUGAGAUAGUGACGCAAAUAGCUGAGAUCUCUUCUAACAUUGCGGGGAAUGAUUCUCUUGUUAGCUCUGGUUUUGAAGUUGAUGGAAGUGACUUGACGAAGAGGAAGUUGGAUGAGCUUAGAGCUCAUCUCCAGGAUCUUCGCAGUGAAAAGGUGUUCUUAUAGAGUUAUAUGUUAGAAAGAGUAUUAUGGUUAUAGGGCUGUUCGUUUGGUUGCCGCAGGUACCGGCAGCGGCAGCGUCAACGUUCUGACGCCGCGUCUGAACACCGCGUCCUGCGACUGACGCCGAUAAAACCUGCGAUCCCCGUAUAAUAUGCGGCAGCGGUAGCGUCAGCGUCUGCGAAACGAACAACAACUGUCCUCAUUGACGCUGUCGCUGCCGCUGACGCCGAAACCUGCGGCAACCAAACGAACAGGGCUUAUGUGUGCUUAUCUUUUUUUUAUUUUUUUUUCAGGCUGUUCGGUUGCAGAAAGUGAACUCUUAUAUCAGUGCUGUCCAUGAGUUGUCAGAGAUUCUUUCGUUUGAUUUCUCCAAGGCGUUGAGUAAUGUUCAUAAAAGCCUUACCGGGGCUUCGAAAAGCAUUAGUAAUGAUACUCUUGCUAGAUUGACAGAGCUUGUAGAGUCUCUGAGGAAGGAGAGACGUCAGAGGCUGCUUAAGGUGAGCAAAGAAAAAAUACUUUCUCAAUUGUUUGGAAAACUAGUAGGGAUUGAUACCUUUGAGAGAUUCUUGUUUAUUUCAGCUACAAGGUUUGGGAAGAAACAUGCAAGAGCUGUGGAGCCUGAUGGAAACAACUGCGGAUGAGAGGAGAAGAUUUGACAAUUUGAGUAUCUUGCUUUCUGUUCAAGCUGAUGAUGCCUUGGGAAAAGGAUGCCUCGGUCUAGACAUUGUCCGAGAGGUAAUGUCAUCAUAUCAUAUUCAUUUGUUCUCAUCUGUCUGAGUCAGCGAGUAUCAAACUUUUGAUUUAAGUCUAACAUUUUGGUUAUAGGCUGAAGAUGAAGUGGAAAGACUGAAUGCCCUGAAGUCCAGCAAGAUGAAGGAGUUGGUUCUGAAGAGGCAUUAUGAACUAGAAGAAAUCUGCAGAGAGGUUCAUAUGGAUUUCAAUAGCGAUGCUGCAAGACAGAGUCUUAUCGACGUCAUUGACUCUGGUACCAUACUAUUCCUCUCUUGUAGGCUGACUAAUUAAUUAAGUACAAACUGUUUUCUGACUAAUGUGAAAGUACGAUGGACAUGGCUCCGCAGUUAAGUUACUAAUGUAUGGUUUAAAGUUAUAUAUUUCAUUGAGUGUGCAGUGACGAAGGUUUCCUUUGCAGGUGAUGCUGAUCUGUUUGGUAUUCUGGAAAGCCUAGAUGAGCAGAUCGAGAAGGCAAAAGAGGAAGCUUUAAGCAGGAAGGAAAUUUUAGACAAAGUUGAAAAGUUGAAGCACGCAAAGGAAGAGGAAAAAUGGCUUGAUGAUUAUGAAAAGGUGACUACCACAUCGCGUUUUAAUAGCUAUAUUUUAUGAAAAUAGGUAAAGAGAAGAUCUAUGGACCUUGGAACUGAUUGUGAGCAUUUAUCUGAUGAAAUAUAUUUGUCUUAAGAUUAACUGCAGAGAUUUUUUUUUGUAUAGUUUUGGUGUUAGAGAGUAUCUCAUUUUGUGUGAGUUUCCUAAAAAACUAGCUUUGUAUACGUAUGUGAUAUUGAUUGUUUCUUGUAAUUUGCUUUCUUAACAGGAUGAGAAUCGCUUUAGUGCUGUAAGAGGAGCGCACAAAAAUUUAAAACGCGCGGAGAAAGCUAGGAGCCUUAUCAGCAAAAUUCCUGGUGAGUCUUUUAUACAUGCAUUACUUGAUUAAUGCAAGCAAGUCUGUCUUCUGGAAUUGGUAACUAGAUAUCCCUUUGGAUUAGUUUUCAAUAAUCUUUUUUCUUUUCAUUCCAAGAUUCUUAUUAUUAACAGCUCAACUAGAGGACAGUUCCUUCCAGCUUAAACUCAAAAACUCAUUGUUAGAUGUUUGGAGUUUCUGAUGUUUUUCUUUGCACUGGUUAGGGUAAAUAGUGUUUGAAGGUAGUAAUAGUCAGUGCCUGAUUCAAAUCAAGUGAAGUUUCUGUAGCCUUUUUGUGAUGCUUAUUCAUCCCUCCAAAAGUAGUUGAUGUUUGUCUGUUGUAAAACUGAUCGGUCUUGAGAUGACAUUAACCUCUUAUGUUUAUUUUAUAAGCAAUGAUCGAUGGUCUGACCACCAAAGUGAAGGCAUGGGAGAAAGAAAGAGGAGUCCCCUUCCUAUGUGAUAAGGUAACGAACUGUACAUUUACUCAACUGUCCUUUUUAUGGUUUGAUUCAGCUUAUGUGAGUUAUGACUUUUUCGAUCCAGCACCCGUUGUUACAAACACUGGAAGAAGAAAUUGUUUUGCGUGCUCAAAGAGAGGAGGAAAAGCGUCAGUUCCGAGUAUGUGUGUUAGUCAAAACAAGGAUUUGUAGACAAUCACUGUGGUCUUGAACUAACACUUUGUUUGUUUUGCGUAAACAGGAGCAGAAAAGACUACAAGGUCAGCUUGCUACAGAGAAAGAAGCAAAGUAUGGUUCAAAAUCUGCAAAGAAGAAGCCAUUGGGACAGAGUCUUAACACAGACAAUGUGACAAAAACACCACUUGGUCGUAGGGUUGGGACUACACCUGGCCGUUCUGGUGUCAAAGAUUAUAGAGAAAGCGGCAGAGGCAAUGCCACCGCGAUACCGCUGAACUAUGUCGCUCUUCAGAAAGAAGAUUGAUUGAUACUAGAUACUAGAAAGGGGGUUAGGGUUUUACAUAAAGCUACAUUACAUGUUGAUGAGCUGAUAGACUUCUUAUGUGAUUCUUUUUGGUUUCUAGUUCCUUUUGCUAAUGAUGUUUUCAGAUUUUAGUUGGUAUGAAUAUGAAGUGUCACAUUUUUACUCAUAAUAUCCAAACCAAAGUUUAAAACAGGCUUUGCUUCUGGAAAUGAUGUCAAUUCAAAAACCAUCUGUCACAAUGCAUAAGGAUUACAACUAAUAAGCUCAGGGUUCUCACUACAUUACUCCUUCAGAAGAAAAGUUUUUUUCAAGUAGUGUUUCGGGUGAAAAAAAGCUUGUCACAUCUCACCACACUCUGUAAUUACAACGGCAAGCUUAGGGCGGUUGUUUGGUCCAACAGCAACGUUCUCAAUCUUCCGCAUCACCAAUAAGCCAUCUCCAAGCACCCUCUGUACAUCACAAAGAAGAAUUUGUAAUGAGUCAUAACAAAACUAUUACCAAACAUAUGUGCACAAGAGUUCAUGAUUCAGUGCCUUCUGCCUCAACUAUCUAUGGCUUUUAAGUUUCUACUAUUAAUCGAUGGAAGAAAACUGAAAAGCUUCUGGUUCAAUCAUAUGCAAUACGUGUGUAAGUGAAAAGAGAACAUACCCCAAAGACAACAUGCUUGUUGUCAAGCCACUCGCAUUUUGCACAGCUGAUGAAGAACUGCAAUGCAAAAGAGCAAAGUUUAAUUAUAGCCUUAAAUGAUAACAUAUAUAUAUAUGAUGGCCAACCAAGUAACUAUACUUCUUUUUCUAAAGCUAAAGUUUAAUAAAUUAGAUUAGCACCAUAGCCAAUUAGCCAUUACAGUUUAGCGAUUAUAUUGAGACAGAAAUUACCUGGCACCCAUUUGUGUCUGGCCCACUAUUUGCCUAUAACAAAAGAAGGAGAUGAGCAAAAUUAGCGAUCAAAGUCAUGCGUAUUAUAUCAGAAAGGUAAUAGGGCUGUUCGUUUGGUUGCCGCAGGUACCGGCGGCAGCGGCAGCGUCAACUCUUGUUCGUUUCGUUGAUGCAGGAAGUUGCGUCUGACGCCACUGACAUAAUAUGCGGCAGCGUCAGCGUCUGCGAAACGAACAACAACUGUCCUCAUUGACGCUGCCACCGCCGCUGACGCCGAAACCUGCGGCAACCAAACGAACAGGACUAAUAGCAUACCAUGGAGAGGAGUCCAGGUCCGGUAUGUUUAGCAGUAAAAUUCUCAUCAUCGAACUUGUGACCAUAAAUGGACAUGCAUCCAUUACCAUCAUUCUGCACAAGAGUUGAACAUGUUUGAGCAUUUAGUUAAACAAAGAAGCUGAAGCUCUAUAUGGAGGCAAAAGGAACAGACCUUAAGAAAAUCACCACUCUGAAUCAUAAAGUCCUUGAUGACCCUGUGGAACUGACACUCCUUGUAACCAAGAGGCUUCCCAGCCUUUCUGCAUUUUUUACAUUACACCCACCAGAUAAAAAAAAAAAGGUUAGCUUUUUAAGUAGCAAGGUGAUAAUAUGAUCUACGCUUAGCUAGCAAAGUGCAUCAAGACAAGAUUUUGAGACAUGCCCAUCUCACAGAAUCCAAAAAAAUCGAAUGUACCUGAGUUCACCAGUACAGAACUGCCUGAAGUUCUCGGCGGUUUUGGGGGCGAUGUCGGCGAAAAGCUCCAUCUUGAUGCGACCCGCGGGGAUGCCGCCGAUAGAGACGUCGAAGAAGACGACUGGGUUUUUAGGGUUCGGUGGUCUCACGUGCCACUCCACGUUUCCUCCGCCGCCGCUUGACGGAGCUGAGGCUGGUGCUGGUGGUGCAGCUACGAUUCCUCCUGCUCCAGAACUCAUCGCAACUCAAAAAGCUAAGAGAGAUACUUUCUUCCUUCCUUCCCCGUUCUCUGAUCAAGGAACCUACUUGGGCUUUUAAAUUCGAACCUAUUUGGGCUUAUAUUCGAUCCUACUUGGGCUUAGAUUCCAAGUGGUGAAAUGAAAGUUGCAAUACAACCCUCCAACUGUCUUUGUCUUUUCAAAUUUACCUUUUUACUUAUGAACAUUUCAAUGUAACCCUCUGAAAACUUCUACAAGAAUAAGCUGUGAAGAGGAACUUGAGUGUCACUACAUCAUUCAUCAUGUAAGAGACUACCUUAAUGCUCUCUAUUAGAAUGCACAAACUCUUUACAUUUUCAAACCACUAAGAUUUAAACAUAGGGAAACAUGUUUAAUAUAGCCCUAUUAAUCAUACAUAUAUAUAUAUAUCUUCAGUCGUCACGUAACCAAAUAAAAACAGAGGUUUUAGUAUUCUUCCAUUGACAAAAUGCAUGUGGUUUACCAUACAAAACAAUAUUAUUGAAAGGUAAGUUACCAACUUAGAAUUGAGCAUGUAAGAGUUACAUACGUCAAAAGAAAAUAGAAAAAGACAGCUAAAUUUGAUAAUUUGGAAGUUGGAGAAGCUCCUCCACUGUCAUAAAAAUCCCCAUUCAACAAAAGAUAAAAAAAGGGUCUGCUCAUGCGUGCGAUGGCUAGACAAGUGAGACAAGACUUCUAAGAACUCUUCUUGCUAUCAAGCUCCUCCAACACACCCAACAGUUUCGGAUCCGCAUAGUUCUCUAUAAGAAAAGCAGGUCUAGCUUGCAUCAGCACGCUUGCUGGAUUCCCUGUGGUAAGUCCAACCACAGGCAUUCCAGCCGCAACUCCAGCUUUUAUCCCAGAGACCGAGUCCUCGAACACCAGCGCAUGCUCUUUCGACACGUUAAGCACUUCGAGAGCCUUCAAGUAAGGCCCCGGGUGUGGUUUGGGAAACUCACAUUCAGAGCCGAGAAUCACUGCCUGGAAGAAAUCAGUGAGACCAAGUUUCGAUAUGAUGAGCUCUGCGUUCUCUUUUGGAGCGUUUGUCACGGCGGCUCGUUUCAGUCCACGGUCUUCGAUCCAUUUGGUUAGUUUUAGAAGUCCGUCAAGUGGCUUUACCUUCUCUGCUACGAGUCUAACCAAAAAAACAAAGUUAACUUGAUAGUCAAGACGGUUCGGUGAUUUUCGGGGGAUAUAAACAAUUUAGUAAAGGUUUUUAUAAGAUAAUUUUUAUACAAAUUUAAAAACCUAUUUCUAUGUAAAUUAAUUUCAAAAUUUUGAAAGUUAUUGGCCUAUGUGUUCACUUGGCUAUGCUCAGGACAACUAGAGGUGAAGCCAAGGCAUCAAUUAUGGUGGCAUGUACAACCACAAAAUAUUGAAAAGAAAUUUAGUGUGCCUAAUCAUAAAAUGCCAGCUAGAUUAGAUGGUUAUAACGAUAUUGUGCACAAAUAAUAAUGUUCUCGGGUUCAAUAACCAAUUUGUCAUUUAUUCAAUUUUAGUACAAUUAUCAAUUAAAUCUUUCUAGAUUCGCCCCUGAGGACCACCCAUAUCAAUAGGGAAGCAAUUUUUAAGACAGAAACGUGACUUACUUGCGGAAGAGAGCUUCCUUGUCCUCGCAAAACUUUAACCCUUUAGCAACAUCAUCAGGGAAGAGAACGAGAGCAAUCUCAGAGUUGUGUUUUCCAGCAAUGUUGGCAAUGAAGAACUUCUCGUCGAUUGGGACACCAUUGUUAAAACCAAUCUGUGAGUGAUUCAAGAAAGCAACAUUUUGAGACAAGAACUUGAAUGUAAGUAAGUAUUAUAUAAUAAGGUUCCAAAGCUGAAGAUAUUAUUCAAAAAGGAAUUAAUAACCUGUUGGAGCAGUUCUUGGAAGGCGAUAAGGUGGAUGGGAUCAGAGUCACAGAGUGUUCCAUCAACAUCAAACAGAAUGGCUUCUAGUGGAGCAAGAUGUGAGAGCGAUGGUUUGCUGCUUCACAACAGAAAAAUGAAAUAGAGUUGAACAAAAAUAACAACGUAUAGAUCAAAAUCUCAACAUAAGGAUCAAAUUUGUUAUUAUAUCUAUCAUCUAGCUUUCAGUUUGGUCUUGAUAAUAUAAGGAGAAAGAUCGCAACAGUUUUGUACCAUCAGAUCAUGCAUACAUAUAUAAUAUAAGUUAUCAUUGACUCUGAAAGUAGGAUCAAGCACGUUACCUCUCGGAAGAAGUGAGAUCAGAGAAGCCAUUCAUUGCGAUGAAACAGAGAAACAAAACCGGAUCUGUGAUUGCAGAGAAGACACCAACCAAUAGCUUUUGAGUUUUGAGAGAAAGUGCGAAGAAUAUUAAAAGGUACAAAAUGGGAAUCAAAUGGGUGCACGUCAGAGGAAGAUUCGGCCGGGGCUUUUUCAACACGUGGUGCCUUUUGUAUUUUUUAAUAACGAACGCAUUAUGCCAAAACUGGAAACCUGGAUUUCAUACCGUCUUCCGGUUUAGAUAAUUCAUUUGAAUUUAUUAGGCAUUUUGGUUGAAGAGGCGGGUAUGAUAAGAUCACGAACAAUAACCUAAGGAAAAUAUAUGAUUUUGUCUUUUAAUAUGAAAAAUAAAGUUUUAUAAAAUUACAUAUAGUAACUAAAAUAGUAUGAAAUUUAUAAAAUUACAUCAUAAUCUGGACAAUAUCUUAUUCUGUAAUUUAUUUAGAGUUUUUAGAUAUAGUUUUUUUUUUAUAUAAUAAAAACAAGAUUGCAACUUUUAUUGGUUGGCGAUUCAAAUUAAAACGGAAUGAAGUUUUGAACAGGUAUUUAACGACUUAUUAGCCGAUUAAGGGCUUGACUGGUUCAAACGCAGCAGUUACGGUUGCGGUUGCGGGAGUUUGUGGAUGCAUGCAGUUGCGGUUUCUAGCGGUUUUAACAGAUUUGUACGAUUGUUACUGCAGUUAAAAAUUGAUGCGUUUGCGGAUGACUUAUGACUGGUUAACUACCAAAUGCGGUAGGUUCGAAGCGGGUUAGAGCGAUUUGAGUGAUUGUUGCAAACCGCCGACAACCGCUACCAACCGCAAAAGCUCGUUUGCGGGUCGUAGCGAGAAAACCAGUCGCCCCCUAAUACCACCCUUCAUAUGUCAAAGAUCCCCUCUAAGUGUUCCCCUACAACACAUUUACUUUUAUACUAUGACUAGACUUUCACAAGUUUUAAAUAUUUUGCAACUCAUGAUAUUUUUUGUGGGUUUUUUUAAUCAUUAUAGCUCUUUUUUUAUUGAAUAAGUGAUGAUGCAAUGGUUCUCGUUUAGUGAAAACAAAUACAUGUUGUCUCUAAAAAAAUUUAACAGAUCCAAAUGACAUCUAGUCGUCAUCUGAAUAUCAUGUUCAUGUGCAUAAAAGUGUUAUGUUUUCAUAUAUUGGAAUCGUGAUCAUAAUUAGACAUGAAAACAGAGUUUAACAUGAACACACUCUUUUUCUCUCACUGAAUCAUGUCACCAACGACAAGAACUCUUUAUUAUCAAAUCAAAAGGGUAUAGAAAACGCAAAUGUUGGAAUAGAAACACAACCAAAAGGAAACCAAACGUUUAGUAACAAAAAGUCUUGAGAAUACUUUCUCGACCGAGAUCAGUUCGAUUUGGAUAGCAGUGUGAGCAAGAAAUCUCUGUAGUUUCCUCUAAUCUUCUCUUGAAUAUUUUGGGCUAACGUCUCACCGUAGCGCUGAUUAUACUCUUCUGCGAUCUCCUUCAUCUCAUCACUAUGAUCCGCUCUCGUAACGAACACUCUUGUCAACCAUUUCUUGGUGCCCUUGUCCGCAUCUUUGUUCAAAGACGCAUUCAAAAUCUAGCACCAAAGAAAUAAGAGACUUUAUUAAAACAUUAUUUUGUCGUUAUUAAAAAGAAAUAUUAGAAGUUUAUAUACGAAAAUACAUGUGUAACCAUAUAAGUUUAUUGUGUUACAAAAAAAAACCAUACAAGUUUAUUACCUUGCUGAAGUACACAGAGGGUUUGAGCAAGCAAAGCAAUGCAUCAUUGAGGAUUGAAGAGUCAGAUACACCCUAAUGAUCAUGCCACAAGAUUUUCUUGACCCAUUAGAAAAUUUAUACAUGUGAUUACAUAAAUAGUAUAACAAGUGUAAGGAGUCAUAUAUAUGUAUGUUACCCCAAGAAGAUCAGAGCCAUUGAUUUGGUUAAAGUGUUUGUAGAGUUGUUGGAUAUGAAGUUUGCUUCUUGUGCUCAGAAUCCUAACAACCUCAUCAUUCUCAAUGGCUUUCUCUCCUGGAGAAGCCACCGCCUCGGCCAAAAUCUUAGCGUCAGAUUUAGCUAAAUCAUCCUUCACCUUGUUCCCUUCGUAUCUGUAAGCACUCACGAGGCCUACAAGCAGCUGCAUGCACAAACACAUACAAGAGACAUGCCAGUGAGUAAGAAGAGAUCUAGAGAGAUCAGGUGUGGGGGGGUGUAUGGUAAGAAAGAAUGUUACUACUGACCUUGCGGCGAGAGCCGUGGAUGUUAGAGGCAAUGUCUUCUUCCAUCGACUGGUCGAAGAGUGAGUGGUAAGCUUUGCGUGCGCCUAGGAGAUCAUCAGAGGAGCGAGUGCAUGCCACCUCCACGAUGAGGCUGUAACAUUCAUCUCCUUUCUUCAGUGCUUUCUUCACCACCCUUGCGUCUCUCUCCCAUGGAUGCAUCGACCACAUGACCACCGCAUUCUACACAUCAUAUAGACUAAACGUUCAUCAUUUCCAUGGAGUGAUAAGGUUUACCUAUUUUUCUCUUCAUAAGGAGUGUCUUAUUAGGACUUCGUUAGGAAACGCGAAAGGACCAAUACUAGUAGUUUAUCAAAGUUCAUUUCUUGAGAUCAAAGCACAUGAUACUUUACAGAGUAUUUGAUAAAAAAUUAUAGGAAUAUAUUCUUCGUCAAGUAACAAGCAUCUACAUCUCUAACCAAGUUCUUGAGAGUAUAUGAGUAAAUUCUUCAUCACGUGUUCUUGAGAGUAUAGGAGUAAAUUCUUCAUCACGUAACAAAUAGCUACUACAUCUCUAACAAAUCGCACACUAAAUAGUUGCAUAACAAACAAUCAAUGAAUACAAAAGGAUGAUAAUGAGCUAGUUGUUAAUUUGUUAAUGUUAAUUACUCUAAUAUAUAAAUUCAGAAAUUUUAGAUUUUUAGUCUUUCACUAAACUGAAAUAAAUUGUUUGUUUUGUACUUUUAUUAGGAAAAACAAUGAUUGGUUUGUUAUUAGGUAAGAAGUAAGAAUGGUGGGAAACUAGUUAAUUAAAUAGAUUGAAAUAGCAAUAACUUUGCCAAAAACAACUAUAAUAAGUAUUAAUAAAAUAUAUUUUUUUUAGAAAAACCAGAAAACGAAAGAUAAAAUUUGAAAAGAAAAAAGAAAGAAAGAAUGAAAGAUGUAAAGUUUUGCCAAAACAAAAAGAAUUAAAUAGUACAACUUUUGCCAAAACAAAAACUAGAAUAUAUAGUAAUAAAAUGUUAAGAAAAGAUAUAUAAAUAGAAACCCCAGAAAAUGAAAAAUGUAAAGGUGUAAGAAACUGACAUUGAAGCGGGAGAACUCAAGCUUGAGAUGUUUGACAAAUUGAUCAUGGCACUUCUCAAAAGCUCUUUCUUCAUCUUCCUCAAAGAAACCUUUGCUUGCUUUCCUAAACAACUUUCGAUGAUCCUUGUGUGAAUUCCCCAGUGUGCUUAUCAAUGCUUUCUCAUCAACUCCCAUUCCUACAUUUUUUCCUAUAUGAUAUCCAACAUAAUUGAUUAACCUUCAAAAUCAUUCUUAAUUGGUUUUCUCACGAUUUUGACAUUCACUGGUUUGCCAAAAUUGACUUUUAAGAAGUACCUGAGAAUGCGUCAACAAUGCUUUCAAGAUCGAGUGUGUGAGCCAUUUAUCUUAAUGUUGUUUUUUUUCUAGCUUUGAUUUGGUUUUUGUGGAGAGCUAUUGAAGAGACACAAGUCAUUUUAUAUGAUGCGGGGAUUAUAGAGAAAAGGGUGUUUUCGGUAAUCAAUAAGUAUUUGUUUAGUUUAAUAGUUUCGUGUUCAGAUUUAAGACAAACGCUAGGUGCAUUGUUGUAACAAGAAGUAACGCUCACGAAAUUUAUUAUUUUACAUCUUUUAAGUUUUAACAACUGUUUUGCAAGCACAAAUUGAAUUACAGUAAUCCAAGACAAAUUAAAACUUACUGUUUUUUUUUGUUUAAACUGAAUUUUUUAAGUUUGACCAUUACAUAAAACGGUCAGUAUAUACAAUUAUACAUAUAUCAUCAUAUCUAUAAUUAAGUAUUGUCUUUGCGUUUCAAUCUAAUAUAGUAAAUAUAAUAAUUUUAUCUAAAAUGUAUAAUCAUUUCAAAAUUUGUUUUUUAAAAUACUUUACUAUAUUAUAUAAAAUAGUUACAGGUUAUAGAUACAUAUGUUAUAUAUAGUAUGAACAGUUUGAAUCAAAAAAUAGAUUUAAGAAGUUAAAAAACAAUUAAAACACUAGACAACAUAUUUUAUGUCGUGAUCUAAACUUGCGUUAGGAAAUUUACAACAAAAACUAAUCAUAAGUAACACCUGCAUGUGCUCUGGCAGAUAAUAUAAGAUACGAUACAGAAGGUUAAGAUCCAUGUGAUUUUAAGUAGGUCGAAUCUCAGAUAAUUAAAAUAAUAUAAGACUAGGAAAAGUCAACUACGUGGGAUUCACUCCAUCUUAAACGAAUGUCAGAUAACAAUUACAAUGAAUAAACAGAUGAAACGAUUAAGUUGUAGAGGUUUGCAUGUAUAACGUUAUUGGAUGUUAAAUCAGAAAAGGGCGAUCAAACCAGCAUUCAUGAGUUGGCUUCGUUUGUUAUAUUAUGAUUCCUGGAAAAAAAUUAAGACAAAAAGUAAAUAUUGAAUCAUUUGGUACGUGCGACGAAGUUUCAAAGAUCAUAAAUCUUUCACAUAAAUAAACAAAAUAGGUUCGAAGAUCAUGGCAAGCUCUUCUUCUCUUAAACUAAUAUUAAUGUCUUCUGUAAGGUUUGAUGCGUUCUCAAUUUGUCCAGACUGUCUCUCAGCGAUUCAAAGGAGUAGAUGAGAAGCCUCCAUCACGUUUCCUUAACGAGGCUAAUAAGUGAUUAGGUUAUUAAUAUACAACAAGCAUCACACAUUCGCAUGGUGUUUAAAAUAAAAUAAAAUAAAUUAUUGCUGCAUAUCUGUCAUCGGGGUUGUACAAAAACCUUAUUUUUUGGCAUACCUUCAUAUGUCCCUAUCUUAAAAGAAAUAUUUGGUCAACCAAAUUAAUAUAUAGCUAAAGACAUGGUGUGUCGUUUGCAGACGUGCAUAUAAACAAGAUCACGUUUAACACGACGAGACGACUUCACAAUAAUUUAGAGGGGACAGAAUAGCUGUGUCUAUAUAUGAUUUGCAUUUCGCUAUCUCUUUUAAUUUGAUUUGGUUAAACUUAUUCCUCAGUCAUAAGAUCCCGUCAUUUUCUAUCCUCUUAAAUCUAAUAUAUACGCAUAUGUCACAGAGGCAGACAUGCUGUUGACUUGCAACAUAGUUUUUCUUUUGGCUGGAAUGUGAAUAUCAUUAAGUAUGAAAAGUUUAGGUUUUUCAAUAUAGCCUAUCUAAUGUAAGUGUUUGUUGUAAGAAAAAAGAAGAAGAAAUAAAAACAAGGAGAACCUAGUUCAUAUAUACAAACACAAAAUAUCCCUAUUUUCUUGUUAAAAACAUUUGAUAGAAGUAUAUCAUCGUAUUAUAUAUUGUUGACGUGUAAGUUUUUCUAUCUGAUGAAUUGCAUACACAUUGGGAUUAUUUUAAAUUUACACUAGUGUGAAAAUUUCAUAUAUUCUUUAAAAGUAAUUAUUUAGUUACAAUUUAAGGAAAUGAUGAAAUCAACAUUUUUUUAUGAACUGAGGCUUUCUAUUUAAAUGUAAAGUUGUGCAAUGGACAAUUCGAAGAUAAUUUCACUAAUUAGUUGCGAUAAAUUAACUUUUAGAAAUUUUAUUUUCAUUAAUCUAUAUAAAUGAAUAAAUUAUUUUUAUGGAUUCAAACUUUAAUUAUUAUUUUUAAUGAAUCCUUAGUUAGAUUAUUGGACUAAGGAGAUUUUCAUAAUUAAAACAUAUCUUAAAGAGCUACUUGGUGGUGGGUUAAGUGGUAAGUAAUAGAUAUAUGGGACCCUAGAUAUAUUAAGAAAAUAGUUAUAGAAAUAUGAGUUUGACUACUAAGUAAUACACAAUUAUUAUUGAACCGUCAUAUUCAACUUCUUCUUCGAAAUUAGAAAAUAUUAUUACAGUUCAAUCAAAAAAGCUAUUAUUACAGUAACGUCUUAAGGGGUAUUUACGUCAAAUAAGAUUCCCUGAUUACAUAAUUACACCCAAGUAAAUAACGGAUUCAGACGAAACAAGAGAGAUAAAGAAACCAAAAGAGAAACAUCUCUCAAAUGGCCACCAUUAGAGUACCAGACGAAGUUCCUUCUCCAGCUCAAGAUUCCGAAACUCUCAACCAAGCUUUCCGCGGUACGUUUACCAUCGGUUUCUGCAUUUUUGUGUUGUGUGUGGUUCUCUCGAAACAAGAUGUAUUGUCUGUCUUUGUAGGAUGGGGAACAGACGAGAAGGCGAUCAUACGCGUCUUAGGAAAAAGAAACGAGAGUCAAAGAAAAAGAAUCAGAGAGAGUUACAGAGAGAUUUACGGCAAAGAUCUUAUUGAUGUUCUCACCUCUGAACUGUCUGGUGAUUUCAUGGUACUAAAACAUUGAGGUUAUAGAUUGUUUGUGUAUCUUCUAUAACGUGAAAACAUGAAAACUUGUGAUUGUAUUCGCAGAAAGCUGUGGUUUUAUGGACUUAUGUUCCAGCAGAGAGAGACGCAAGGCUAGCUAACAACGUCUUGAAUGGGAAGAAGAAAAGCAUAGAGAAACUUAAGAUCAUCGUAGAGAUCUCUUGCACAACUUCUCCUAACCAUUUGAUUGCUGUGAGGAAAGCUUACUGUUCUCUCUUCGACUUAUCUCUUGAAGAACACAUUGCUUCCUCUGUCCCUUUCCCUCUUGCAAAGGUAUACCUUCUUUUGAGUUUUGAUUGUUGUCAUGAGAAGCUAAAGUCUUGAUAUGGUCUUUUAUUGUAUAAACUGCACACAGGUACUGGUGACUUUGGCAACUUCUUUUAGAUAUGACAAAGAUAUGGCUGAUACAGAAGUAGCUACUAUUGAGGCCGGUAUGCUGCGUGAAGCGAUCACAGCGAAGCAACUAGAUCAUGAUCAUGUCCUAUACAUAUUAGGAACUCGCAGUAUCUACCAGCUCAGAGAAACCUUUGUUGCUUACAAGCAGAGUUAUGGGAACACGUUAGAUAAGGUGAGUUUGGCUUUCAUUUAUGUUAUGUGUAUUCGUUAUCUCGAAUGAAAAUGACCCUAGCAUUUGUGUCGGAAGUUCGACUGCUUUCGAACUUCCGGAACAAAACUAAUAUUACAUGUUGUGGUUACGGCACUGGGAGAUUACGGGUUUCUGCCCGAAUCUCUUGGUUAUUUUUUUUUAAAGAUUUUAUAUGUAAUUCUUUACUUGAUGCUUGAUGUUGUGUUGUUAUAUGGACAGGAUGUUGAUGGAUGUCCGGGAGAUGCUGAUCUGAAAAGUCUAUUACAGAUGGUGAUCUUGUGCAUUGAGUUCCCUGAGAAACACUUUGCAAAGGUACUUCAAAAACAUUUGAGCAGAUGUUACUCAAGUAGACAACAAAGGCGUUUUAUCUUCUUUCCUUUGACUUUUGUGUUUUUUGUUUAUGUUUAAUUUACAGGUUGUAAGAGACUCCAUUGAAGGGUUUGGAACAGAUGAAGAUUCGUUGACGAGAGGGAUUGUGACGCGUGCAGAGAUUGAUCUGAUGAAAGCAAGAGGAGAGUACUAUAACAUGUACAAUACAAGCAUGGAUAACGCUAUUAUUGGUGAUGUUUCCGGUGACUACAAGGACUUCCUCCUCACUUUGCUUGGUUCCAACAUCUGAUCUUUGUUUUUCUUUUAAUAUUCUUGGCUUGUGAUUUGUGUGACUUGUAAGAAAAACUUCUUUUCUCUCUCCGGUUUGAACAAAUGUUAUAAAAAUAAUCAAACUACUCUUGUUUCUUGAUUUUUAAUGAUAUGUUGUAUAUAUUUGAAAAAGUACCUAAAACUAAAAAAAAUGUAGGUAGAGCCAAAUACAAAUCAGGCCUGCCACGCCAAAGUGUAGUUCACAUGGACGUCACGUUCGGGUUAUAUUUGGAUUGGAUUGAUAUAUGUUCGAGUUAGGUUUGGUUAAUCAUAUUUUUGAUUAUAAUUUUUUUUUUUUAUAAUUUUCUAAAAAAUUUCAUUUCAAAUUAAAAUUCAUUUUGGGUUCAGUUAAUAAUAUUUUGAAUUUAAAUAUUUUACAACCGGACCAUGAUAGAUAGACAUAAAGUUAAAUAUUUGAAAUAUUUAUUUAGUAUUGUGAAUAGUCUCAUUUCAAAUGCUAAUUUAAUACGGACAAGAUUUGGAUAAUAUGAAAAUCCAAAAUAUUUUAAUUAAAGUUUGUUUUGGACAUGGGUUUCAGUUACUAAUGUCCAGACUUAGUAGUGGGCCGCAGAAACAAAACUCAAGCCCAAUAUUAUGAUAAGCAAGAAUGGCACUCACGUGACAUCUCCAAAACGGCAUAAAGUCCGGCGGGAAGGCAGACUAUUCCGAUGUGACAAGCACACUCUUCGUUAAUCAAAUAUGGUAAAAAGAUUUAAAUAUUUUUCUUGAGAUAUUUUGUGCAGAUUGAGUUUUAAAAAAAUGUGUGGCUCUUGUCAUCUUCCACCAAAUCACACAAGGCUCCAAAAAAAAAAAAAAACAUUUUCCUCCAGCUUCUUUGGAGUCAUCUUCUUUAUUUCAUUUUCUUCUCUUUCUCUGUGAUCCUUAAACCCUUUCCAUGGCCUCUAUCUCCAGAGUUCUGCCAACAGAUGGCAGAUUAAGUCAUUGCACUUCAUGGGUUCCUGUAACUCUUGUGAGGAGAGCUCAAACUCCACCUGGUAUAUAACAUCAGCGAUCCUUUUAAUCUAACACAAAGUCUCUGGCUUUUUUUGUUGCUGAUGAAUCCAUUUCUCUGUGUUUAUUUCAGAUUCUCUCAAGUUGUUUCCCGUUAGUAAAGCUGGAGUAAGUUUAAGGAUUCAGAACAGUAGUAGACCGUUACGCUCUGUCUUUGCUCUCGAGUCACCUUCCUCCAGGUACUUUAUUGGGGACUAAAUAAAAUUCAUCUAUUGAUGUAAUUUUCUCUAGUUAGAUGCGAGAUUUUGAAGGCCUGUGGCUAUGUUUAGUUAUGAAAAUUUAUUUUACAAAUUUGGAAAUCUAAAUUUUUUUUUUUGAAGUCUAUUUGUUUGUAAUUUUUUUAAAAAAAAUUUAGGGGUCUGUGGCAAAUGUUUCGGUUAGCAUGGCCAGGGCCGACAUCUAACUUAGAUGUGGGUCAAGUUCAAGUUAGCUUCUUGUUUAACAUGUUCGUUGUGAACUUUACAGGAGCAGCCGAGUUGCUUGCAAUGCUGCUGCAGAUAUGUCAGGUGAUGCACCUGAAAGCACUCCUAAGGAACUGAGCCAGUACGAGAAGAUUAUUGAGCUUUUGACCACCCUUUUCCCACUUUGGGUACCUUUUGAUGAACUCUAUAUGCGUUUGAUAUCUCAAAAUGGUGGAGUGAAUGUGAUGCUUUCUUUUUUGUUUGUUGGUGUGCAGGUUAUUUUGGGAACACUUGUUGGCAUCUUCAAGCCAUCUUUGGUAUGCUUUCUUCCAUGCUUCUUAUUUUUUAAUCUUAUGUCAAUCUAAUAGAUUGUCUUUUUAUGUAGGUUACAUGGUUGGAAACAGACCUCUUCACUCUAGGUCUGGGCUUUCUCAUGCUCUCCAUGGGAUUAACUCUUACCUUUGAAGAUUUCAGAAGAUGUUUACGUAACCCCUGGACGGUGAGACCCUAUGACCAACUGUGUAUCUACUCUCUUUAUGUUAACAUUUGGACUCCUCUUGCAGGUGGGUGUUGGUUUUCCCUUUUCUUUUGGUUGUUGAUGAUUGUUGAGGAGCCACCUAAUACUAAACCUUUUAUCAUAGACUCUUAAGCUUUCAGCACCUCUUGCAACUGGUCUUAUCCUGGUCUCAUGCUGCCCUGGAGGACAGGCGUCAAACGUUGCCACCUACAUUUCCAAGGGCAACGUAGCACUCUCUGUACUCAUGACAACGUAUAUACUUUUUUUUUUCACUUGUUUUUUUUUUCGUUUUUUGAAGGCCUCUCAAUAAUAUGUUCUCUAAUUUUAUAGGUGUUCAACAAUCGGAGCUAUUAUAAUGACUCCUCUUCUCACUAAGCUUCUUGCUGGCCAGCUUGUUCCCGUUGAUGCUGCUGUGAGUUUUUCUUUGUAACCAGAAAUAAGCAAAAUAGAAUUGUAUAACAAGAUAGUUGCAUCCUGCCAUAACAAAGGCUUUUUUGACAUUAGGGACUAGCUCUUAGCACUUUUCAAGUAGUGUUGGUGCCUACUAUAGUUGGAGGUAAAGUAUUGAGCUCAGUGUUUCUAGAACAAUGAAUUUACCCAUGUUUCCUUAUGGACUAUAUAGUCUUCUUUUAUUUGUGUGACAGUUCUGGCUAAUGAGUUCUUUCCUAAGUUUACGUCCAAGAUUAUAACAGUGACACCUCUAAUUGGAGUCAUUCUGACCACUCUUCUCUGUGCUAGCCCUGUAAGUAAAAUUUCAUAUAACCAGAAAAAUUGAAUUCUUUAGAAGUGAAAGUAGUAUUGACUCUUGUGAAAAGAUUGGACAAGUUUCAGAGGUUUUGAAAACGCAAGGAGGUCAACUUAUACUCCCAGUAGCACUCCUUCAUGCUGCGGCCUUUGCUAUUGGCUAUUGGAUUUCAAAGUUCUCUUUCGGCGAGUCCACUUCCCGCACCAUUUCUAUAGAAUGUGGAAUGCAAGUAAGUUAACUUCUCCUUCACCAACAAAUAUAUUGCCGUUUGUUUGGUAAGAAGUUCCUUUUUUCAAAGAAACUUUUAUUUGUUUGGUUAGAAGUUCCUUUUUCAAGAAAGUUUAUUGUUUUUGGCAAAUUGUAGAGUUCAGCGCUGGGGUUCUUGCUUGCACAAAAGCAUUUCACAAAUCCUCUGGUCGCUGUUCCUUCUGCAGUCAGUGUUGUCUGUAUGGCGGUAAGUUUUCAUAGGCAUUGUUCUUUGAACCAAUGUGUAGUUUAUGUUUAGUGGCAUUGCUGUAAUCAUGGUCCAUUGCAUUAUGCAGCUCGGCGGGAGUGGAUUAGCUGUGUUCUGGAGAAACCAACCGAUUCCGGAAGAUGACAAGGAUGACUUCAAAGAGUGAAAAGCUAAUCUGUGUCUAUGGGAUUGUCUUGUUUGUAGACAUGCUCCCUUGUGUUUGAUUAAAGGACAUAACACAAGAUCUUUAUUAAAAAAAGACAAAACAAGGAUAUCAUUCUCUAUUUUAAGAGGUGAAUAUAGCAAUGAGUAGGAGAUGCUCUUAUGAAAACAUUUAUGCAAGUGAAGGGUUGGUUAAAGAAAAAAAAACUGCAAGAUGACUUUUGAUUGUUUGCUUACAAGUUAAAAGCCCAAAUUUUUAUUUUUUUGAAGUUUAAAAUAUUUUUGUAAAAAAAUCUUGUGUUUUAAGGAUAACACAUUUUUUUGUGAAAGGGAUAAAACAUCUAAUAAAUAAAAAACAAGGAGCAAAAGAGAAAAUAUUUUUUUCUUAAAAAAUGAGAAAAUAAAUUAAAACAAUCGUUUGAACAUUUUUUUAUUUGACACCUUUUUUGUUUUCUUCACUUAACUGCAUUGCUUUAUUCCUGCUUUUAAUAUUAGAAAACAAACGUGACGUAUAAUCAACUGUUACAUACCUUUUUUCACGAGAAAAUAAAUGUGUUUGAUUGCGUGUCAAUUAGUAUCUCGUUUAAGCUUCUAGAUUAAAAAGGGAAAUCAAACGAUGAGAUUAGCAACCCCGCAGGGACGGAGCUACAUUAGGUAAGUAGGGGGCAGUUGCCCCCCAUAAAAUUUUAAAAUUUCAUUUAAAUGCUUAGGAAAAAAUUGAUUGCCCCAGUUGAAAAAUAUUUAUUGCCCCCCCCCCUCCUCCCUCCCAGCAAAAUCAGCUCGCAAAGUUCAAUAUAAAGUUUCCAUUAUUUCUGUUUUGUUAACAUUAUUAUGUUGCCUUAUUUAAUUUGAACAUUAAACCAUUAUUUCCAUUUUUAUAUAAUGAAAAUGAUUUUCUUUCUUCAAGAACAGUUUGCUUGAUAGUUUUACUGAACAGAAAAUUAAUAUAUAUUUAUCUAAUAAGUAAAUAUACUCAAUGACAAUAAAAAUACAAUAUUUUUAUUUUAGUGAUUAUCUGUUUAUUUUAUGAGUGAAAAAUUUUCUUAAAAAAAAUUUCUUUAUGAUUUUGUUCUUUUCAUCAUUUUGAAGUACCAUAAAUUUUAAGGAAGACAUUUUAAAUUUUAAUCAAUACUUUUUAAAAAAAAAAAUUGGUUUUAUAAACUAUAUUCUAUAAUGAAUUUAUAUAGUUGACAAAAUGAAUUUAUUAAAUAAUUAAUAUUUAAUAAUAAUUUUAUUUAUAAUUAUUAUUUGCUCCCGGUAAAUUUUUUUUCUAGCUCCGCCACUGGCAACCCCUACAAACAAGUUACGGUAUACGGAUAUACUGUACUAAAAAUAGGCGAAUAUACUUUCGUACAAAAGCAAAAAGUACGAACUAAAACUACGGAGGGGCAUUUCCGUCAUCUUCUUUAUCAACUUAUUCCGGGUGGAUCCGUUAACAGACUCCGGCACAAGUGGAGUCGCAGACACGUCCGGAUCUUUGUCACUUACGAAGAACCAACACCCUUAAUCUCACGACACGUGUUCCUGACCGUCUUCGAAGUUACUAAUUUUGACACGUAGGACAACCACGUGUGCACUAUAUCCUUCCUCUUUAUAAAAACCGAACACAAAGCCUUAUCCUUUGUCUUCUUCUUCGUUCAGUUUCAGAUCAGAGAGAUUUUGUUCUGUUUUCUUUUUUUUUCGUUUUCGAAAAUUCAGUUUUUCUUCGAAACUAAUGAUCACAAAAAGCAUAAAGAUCUAACGUUCUCGCGUCGUCGCGUAUCUCGGUGACUUUAUUACCGUAUCUAAAGACUUGAGAAUAAAGCAAUCUUUCUCCUCUUUUUUUCUUAUAUAUUUAUAUUUUGGCUCAAGUUCGAAACCAUCGUAAUGCCGUUUCACACGAAGAUCCAACCGAUCGACUUGUCGGAAGAUCUACCGACGAUGAAGCAAAUGCCGAAGUCGCGUUUGAAGCGCCUCUUCGAGCGUCAGUUCAGUAUCAAGAACGCCACCGUCGACGAGUUCGACGCGCCGCCGCCUUCUAGAGGCAACUCCGGAGAUUUCGAGCCUAGUUCCGUCUGUUUAGGGAAGAUGGUUGUGAACUUCAUGGAGGAUAACAAGGAGGAGGAGGAGAAACAGAGGUGCGGUCGUAGCCGGUGUAGCUGCUUUACCGGGAGUGGAACAGAGAGCUCCGGCGAUGAAUCUGAAUGGUCGGAUAAUGUCAAGUGUUCGUCUGGUGAAGCUUGCGUGAUGCUCAAGGUAUGUUCUCUAGGUUUUUGCUUUAUAAAGGGUAAAGCAGAAACCUGAUGGAUCCAGAUUCGUUUUUGUAGAGUUUGGUUCUGUGUACGAGCAUCAGCGAGAGGAAUGUAAUGGCUGAUGUGACCAAGAUUGUGGAGACAAGUAAGCGUAAAGACCAAUCUUGCUUGAAGAACCUGGUCAGUGUGUUGGUGAGGUUAGGUUACGAUGCGGCUAUAUGCAAAUCUCGUUGGGAGAAGACUCCUUCCUAUCCUACAGGGGAGUAUGAGUAUGUGGAUGUGAUCAUGGAAGGCGAAAGACUGUUGAUCGAUAUUGAUUUCAAGUCCAACUUCGAGAUUGCUCGUGCGACCAAGACCUACAAGUCGAUCCUGCAAACUAUUCCUUGUAUCUUUGUAGGCAAAGCGGAUCGGUUGCAGAGGAUCAUCAUGCUUCUAUCUAAAGCGGCAAAGCAGAGUUUGAAGAAGAAAGGACUUCAUGUGCCACCGUGGAGGAGAGCUGAGUAUGUUAAAUCGAAGUGGCUGUCUACUUACGUUCGUGGAGAGGAGAAGCAGGAAACGGUAGAUAUGUUGAGUGCAUCGGUAGGUGGUUCCAUAGUCUUUGGUGUUUGAAGAUUGUGUGGAAGGUUUUGUUAUAAUGACAUAAAAAGCCUCUAAGAGAGGUGUUGUGAGAGAUAGGAGUGUUCUGAGUCCCUUAAUAGUUUUUUUGAUACUUAAGGGUAUGAACUGAUGAAUCACAGUGUCUCCCCUUGUCUUUUUUUUUGGUGUAAGGGAGACUGUGUUCAGACUCUGUGACUCUGUCUUUGCUUUUGUGAGAUUAAUGGAUUAUAAUAAUUAACCAAUAAUUGUUGCACCUAUUGGUUUUAAUAAGACAUUCAGAAUCCUUUGAGAAGAUAAAAUGCUCCUAUGUAUUUGAUUUGCUGAUUUAGUAUGGGAGGCUCAAGAAGAAAUUUAGCUAAUAUGAACUGAGAGAAUAUGAACAUAGAAAGAAGAGGUUAGGUAACAUCAUGAGGCUAAAUACAUCAUUAAUUACCAUGAUGGGUUGUAAUAUUUUAAUCUGGUGCUAGGAGUUUUUCACCUUUUCUUAAAUAGUUCACCAAUAUUUUUCACCUGCAUAUAGUUUCACUGCUACAUGUACACACGGUCUCAAAGUCUUAGCAGAGAAAAAAACAAUGAAAAUUCUUGUCAAAGCUAAUGGCCUUGAAUGGAAAUUGUUUUUUUUAUAGGUUUCACAAAUGAAAGAUGAUAAAGAUUUGUAGAGGAAAAGCUGAAAUGAGAUAAUAUCAAAGCGAAGACAAUUCAAAUGUAAUGGCGAGGCAUAAAGCUGAUAUAGAAGUAAAAAAGAGAGGAAUCUAGAGAAGCACAUCAUCAGAGUUAGUAAAACUGGACCACCUAGCUAACAAUGUGGUCCAUUUCACCUAGUUCACAAUAAUCUUUUAGCUUUAGAUUAACUGAUUAAGUAAUAAAGACAUAAACUUCCACAAAAUAAUACAGAACAGUCACUAUCCUUUAUUCCGUAAGCUUGACUCAACAUAUCUUAAGUCCUUUCAUUGUGAAAACAAUAGAAUGAGGUUUCAAAACCAAGAACAUCACAAAUAGCACAACCAGAUUUAGCCUCAAAAUCAUCAUCAUCAACAUCAUCAGCCACUGGUCUUUUUUCCCGGUCCUACACUGAUCCAGAUCAGAAUGACUUAUCAGAAAGUCUGAUCCAGCUAUAGUUGGUUGCUUUGUGGGGUUAAACAUUACUUUAGUCACUAUUAUAUGUUUUUGAGACACUCAUAAUAUCAUUUGAGAAGAGAAUGAGCUGGCUUCUAUUGAGUUGUUGUUACUACAUUAUUAUUAAAGAAGUAAACCUAUAAUGUCACGUACUUUGCAUAUGUACAGAAUUAUUAAUAGUUUCGUUGACGAAAUUAUGUACUUCCUUGGCGUGGGGAGCAAGAUCCUCGUUGAUCAGUUUAAUACUCAGAUAAUGUGAUUAUAUAAGAACAGAAUACUUGCAAAGUAAAGAUACUAUCAAAGACUUUUUGUUAAUAGCAUUCACAAACACGACAAACAGAAAAGAGGCUAUGGAUUAUACAGGCAACAAACUGGAGAGACAUAACUUAGAAGCUGAGAAACGACUCAAGAGGGUGGAACAAGAUUAUCUCCACACAAGCCAAAAGUACAUAGAAUCAGAUGUAAGUUUUCAAGACAUGUAAGCCCUGAAACAUACCACCCAAAACAUUAAAAAUGCU